CAUUCCAAAAUUUCUAACCACCCCAAAAAAAGUUAAACAAGUACCAUGAUAACUAACAAAACAAGACUAUUCAUUCGGUAACAAAAUAUAUAUAAACAAUAAAUUACAUGUCUCUGACCAAAUUUGAUCUAGAUAUACUUUUUGCUUAUAUUUUAUUAUGAUCUAGAGAUAUAUAUUUUUUUACUUAUAUUUUAUUAAGAAGGGAGUAACAUUUUGGUGUAGCUAGCUAGCCAGUGCCUGUGACACCAAGGUCUUGCUUAUUCUCAUCUUUACCAGCACCAAAGACAGGACCACCUUUUCCAGCAGGAUCGUGAACCUUCUCUUGCAACUUAUCCACUUGAAUGCCACCUUGAUCCUCUUUUGAAAGCAAAUUAGUCCUUGUACGAUUCUCUCCUCCUUCUAUUGAUUCAUAUGUUGUUGCUGUUUUUGACUCCUUUGGUUGUGCUCCUUGUGCCCCUGACAUCCUCUCUAAUAAUUCACUUUUUAUUUAUUGAUUUUUCACUUUUUUAUCUGCUCAUUUAAUUUCUACUAACACUAUUUUAUAGUGGCAUUGCAUUAUACCAACAACAACCUACGUGUUAUGUUAACAUGCCAUGAGUCUACACGUGUGCCAUGACUUGUGCCAAAUGUCAUUUUUGUUUUCCUCUUCUGCCACGUUUUGUUUAACGGAUAUUUUUCUUAUGAACUUUAAGUUUUUUGUAGAAGUAUCUAAAUUAUUAUUCUUAACUGUUUAAAAGUAUUAGUUGAAUAUUUUUGAGAUACUUCACACACACACAUAUAUAUAUAUAUAUUUAGGAAAGAUGAAGGAAAUAAAAAAGUGAAAAAAGUGUGAGACACCAAAUUGUAUCAAAGAAAGAGAAGCAUAGUCUUGAUUUUUUUAUGAAUUGUUUCAUAAUUUUUUUAUGAAAUGUGUUAUAUUGUUGACUUAACUCCUCUUUCUUUGAUUUUCAUUUCUAUAAUCUAUUCAAUGUAAGUUGUAACAUUAUGAAAUAAUUGUAAAAAAAAAAAAUAAAGACUUUACUUGAAAUUAUAGACAGCCAACCCAACCAAAAACCCUAGGAAAGCACCAGCUAUGACUUCAACCUCAGUAUGACCAACAGUUUCUUUCAAUUGCAGUAGACCAUCACUAACCAACUUUGAGAUUUGUUUUGAAUCUUCUGAGAACAAGUCAGAGGAUAGUAACUCCUCAUCACUUAGCUUUAUUUUGCUUCCUGAUUUAACUAAUACACUUGCAUUAGCCUGUUGUGGUUCCAAAGACUUAGCUUCUAGAGACAAAAGGGACUUUUCGUGAGCUUCUAAUUUUGGUGGAUUGGAUGAAUCAGGAUGAGAGUUGAUCAAAGCAUCUUUAUGUUUGGAAUGUAAAUGGUUGAGAUGCAUUUGGAGAAGUAGUUUGUUUACGGUCUUAGCAUGAAUCCCUACUUCUCUUCUUACACCCUGCAAAUCAUGAAGUCAUAGUCUCAAUUGUCAUCCAACCAGAUCACAUUCACUGAUAAAAUAAACAAUCAAGUUCAAUAAGCAGAACAGCAUGAUAAAGGGAAUUUGCUUGGAGAAAAGUUGUGUCUGCUGGACUUAAGUGCAUGUUUGAAUUUACCAUGAAUUUAAAAAAAUUGAGGCAGAUGGUUUUGUUGAAGCUCUAAAGUGUAGUUUUUGCUUAAACCACAAUGGCACACUAUGAUUCAACCAAACUCUCCAUGAAUGGACAAUGUUUAAACAACUGACUAUGGACAAUGUUUGGUCAUAAUGACCAUAAUUACAGGGUGAAACAAAAAGUUAGUUUCAAGAAAUAUAUGAAGUUUCACAAUAAAUAAGUAAACUAUAGUGUUUGCAAUGAACAAUAAACGGUAAGACUAGUAGGCAUCAUUAAAGGUUUUUAACUAUGUAGCACAUGUCUGGUGUCCAACAUGUAUCGGUGUCGAGCACCAAUGUAACACUGAAAAAUGUAGUUCCUAAUUAUAUUCAAUUACAUCUGUUUUUUCAAAUUAUUACUAGUAUUUUCGUGUUUGUGUCGUAUGCAAUGUCUAUGUUAAUGCUUCAUAGGCUUUUAAGCACGUUAUAUUGAACAAACAAAUCUUUUUUGCAUUAAAAGGUUGCUAAAUGAGCAAACCCAAAUCUAGCUGCAGGCUACAUCAUAUCAAAUUAUCAACCCUUUUUAAAGACAUCUAAAUCUGAGGACUCAGCUAUCUUUCCGUCAUUUGGCACCAAUAAUCUAAAAAUAGAACAACAACAACAACAUUCUUCCAUAUGGAUCAAUCGUCACUAUACAGUUCUGGUAGCAUUACACUGAAUAUAGCUGUGCUGUCUUAAAUCCGAGCUAACAAAUUUCAUACUAUAAUUUCUCUCCCACUCAAGUGACAACCUUACCUUUCUUCCCUAGUAGAACCUUCAUUCAUUAAAUUUAUAUAGGUUAAAAUGUUAAUGAAGUGACAAGGUCAAUGCAGUUGUAGCCUAUACAAAGGAGAUCAAAUCAAGUACAUGAUGCAAUAUUGUUAACUCAGUAGUUAGAUCAUCUUAUAAUAUCUUUUACUGCAAUUUGAGUUUAGGUGUUGAGUGACAACUCCUUGUCAUUUUCAUUGUUCAUUGUGUAAUUUCAUUUUUCAUCUUAUAACAUCUCUUCCCGUUUACCAAUAAUACCAUGGUAAGAACUCCACAAAUAGUUUGAUCAUUAAUUAGAGACAAUCAUAUAGCGACAAUACUCAAUAUCUUAGAAGAUCCUAAUUUAAUCCGACCUAAAGAUUCCUUCAUUAAAUUUGACAUAGUCUAUCGAGCCUUGUGGUGUUUCUCAAAUAGAUUAAGUGUUGUCAAUCGCAUAAAAUAACUGUUUGUUCAAUAUUUGCUACGCUACAACACUACGGUGCCACUCUAGCAGCUAAUUGACAACACUUAAUACUGAAUUGCAUAUCAUCGAGCACUAGCAGAUUGUUUAAAUUCCUCUUUGCUAUAGCAAUAUAUAGCUAUUUGACAACAUUGAAUAGACCUCACAAAUUUUGGGUUUAUUCUAACUACAAUUGAAUCCUAACAUAGUUAAAAGGACAAAUCAAAAGAUGAUGAUGUGAAAGGAUUAUAGGAAUACAUAAUGUAAAUAACAUGAAAAACUAGAUAGAAAGCACCAAAUUUUGACAGAAGAACAUCACACCUGAGCAUCAUACAUAACCAGACCAGCAUACACAACUGCAAGACCAAAAAUGGGAUCUGAGAGGCCCCUGCAUUUGGAUAACAAUAAACAAUUAAAAAAUAACGCACGAACAACUAGGGUCUAUCUACUUUCUGAAAAUGAUUUUCACUUUGUAUGGCAGUGACUGAAAUGACAUUUUUUUAUGAACUUUUGCUUUAAUUGUGAUAGAGAAAAUAUGGAAGCUAACUAGAGAGAAUGCAUUUCCGCAAACACUAUAAACAAUGCUUGACAGUUUUCACAAUUUUCAGAUUUAUUCAAUCUACUUUUAAAGGCAUUUUCAAAAACUUGUGGAAAUGAAAACAGGAAAUACAUGAAGUAAACAGGUCUUAUAUUUUUAAGAAAAUUGCAAUUUCAAGAGGGUAAAGAGAAAAAUGCCAUGAACCAAACACCAGUUGUCCUAACUGAAUUAUCUUACCUCUCAAGGCCAAGGAAUGUUGCACAAGACACUGUUGCCUAUCCACAGGAAAACGUAAACAACAAUGUGAGAAUAAAAGUGAAACCCAACUAUGUGAAAAAUCGACAAAAGUCUAUUGGCAUAGAUGAAAAUGAAAAGAAAGUAAGAUUAAUAAAAGGUUUCAAGAUCAUACAGAAGAGUGUGAAGAUGGAAACCCUCCAGGUUGAAGAAGAGCCUUGAUAUCAAACUCUUUGCCAUACAAAAACACAGAAGUAAAUGGCUUAGAAAUUUGCCCAAUUGCCAUUGAAACUCCAGCUGCAAUCAGAACCUUAACAGCAUAAUAUCACAAAUGAGAAAACAAAUGCCAAUUCAGAAAAAUAAAACAACAAAACAAUAAUUAGGAUAUGAUAGCUUAAUGUAGCACCUACACUUCAGAUUAAAGACAUAUCUAGUAAACAACACUGACACAUGUGGUUUCAUUCAAAUUUUCAGAUUAUUAUCAGUGCCUUGUUCGGUAUCAGACAUCAACACGACAGAUACACAUGUGUUUACAUUCAAAGUAUCAGUAUCAUGUCUAUUGUUUGUAUAGGUACUUCAUAAUAAUAAAAAUAAAAUAAAAAAUAUAUUUAAGAGACAAAAAAAAACAUGAGAAAGCCAUAAUUUGUUGAUAUGAAAAUGGGGUACCUUAUUAUGAGCAAUUUGAGCGAUGUCACCAAGGGAAGAAAUUCUAAAGGUUGAGGCAUUGGGGCUUCUAGGAAAAUAAAAAGGGAAGUUUUGUUUGUGAAGAAGUGGGUUCCUUUGUUUGAGUGAGGAAGGAAUUGAAGAGAAGUUUGAUUGUUGCAACAACAUCAUCGUCCCUAACAUUGCUUAGUUAAGGUCAACCAUGAAACAUGUUCUGUUAAGGUGCCACUCGAUGUUUCUUUCUGCUCAGUAAAAUGAAAUUUGAAAAAACACAAUGAAAUAUGCGCCUUUGAAGCCACUACUAGUGGAUAAUGAUAAUAAUAUAGGGAAGAAUUGAAAAGAGCUAUUGCUUGCGCACUUCACAAAGCUUUCUUUGUGUCUGUUUUUUUUUUUUUUUUUUUUUUUUUGUGUAUUGACUGGUGUUUUCUAUUCUUUUAUAUGAUUUAUUUUCAAUUUCCAUUUUCGAUAUGUCAUUUUACGAUAUUGCCCACCAAGUUUGAUUUGGUUUCUGAAGUGAUUAGCUCACUAUUAAAUAUGGAAGGUUAAAUCUACUUAUUGUUGAAAUAUUCAUAUUUUAUUAUAUUAUAUUUCAAUAAUAUUAUAUCGAUAUAUAUUUUUUAUUAUAAUUUUAUUAAUUAUUUAUCAAAUUAUGUAUAGAUGUCAGAGUGGAUCUUUAUAUUUGAUUUAUUGAGAUGAAUUAUAAUUUAGACCAUAAUUAUGAGUUAUGUAGCUUGUGCACAUUUACGUUUUCUAUUUUCUUUGGGUUUUUGCUACGAAUCUAGUCUUGAUAGAUUAAUACAUGUGAUAUUUUUUGGUCGAAGCCUUUGACCUUAUUUGAGAAAAUGUUCAUUGUGACAGUAAGAUGAAUUUAAAGUUUUUGUUUAUUUGUUAAUUCAAACUUCGGUAAAUGUGAUCUGAACGAUUAUAAAUUUUGACGGUUUGUGUUACUCAGCAAUCGGUCAUGAAAGAUUGGUUAAAUAUUUUUUAAUUGACUAGUCACUAGUGCAAUUAAUAUCAAGCAAGUCAUAAACACAAAACCGUUGCAUAUAUGGUGUCUAUCAAUGCUAGCGGCGCAUUUGGCUCAUCAGUGCAACAAUUAAUUUGAUUCCAAUUGCUUAUUAUUAAUUACUACAAUUUUGUUAGACCCACUUUCAUUUUUAUUAAGUUUAUACAUAUUUUUCUAAUUAUGCUUUUAGGAUAUAUUUCCGUUUGCAUGUGAAUUUGUAUUCACGCUCAAGUAGUCUUGUACAUUUAAGAUUUUUUUUUUAUUUAAUUUGAUAAAUUAGUUUGUCAAGUAAUUAUGAUAGAAUUGAUUAAAACAACAAGUUGCACAAAAUAACAUUUGGUGCGUAGAUUUACUUCGAUCAAAAUUAUAAAGGAUGUAAUAUGAAAUUAUUCAUAUGAGUUGUUGUCAGUAUGAAAGAAGGCACAAUUUGGCUAGAUAGUUUCAUAGUUGUAAGCACAAAGCAACUGCUGCGUAGAUUUGAUUCAAUGAGAAUUACAAAAAAUGUAGUAUAGAAUUGCUCAUGCGAUUAUAGUCGAUCAACGUAUACAAUUUAAUUGAAUAUUUUCAUACUUAUGACGCGUGGUGAUUAUUAAUUUGUUUUCAAGUGGAUAAUGAAGAUGUCAAAAGACACCUAUUAUUUGAUAGAAAUUAUUACCAAUAUUUGAUCAUUCCGAUGAGUGUACCGCUUGCAGUUAAGUCAUGCAUAGUCAAAAGAUUGUGGAUUAAUAGUUCACUUGGUAACUUGUUUUAGUCUUUUAAUUUACAAAUAAAGAUAAAUAGUGCACAUCUUUAUAAUAAUUGUUGAUGUGUCUACUAAUGUUGUUUGUAUAAUUAAAUCCUUUAAUUAUUUGACCGAUUUUAAUUUACACAUAUGAUGGUAAAUAUGUGACAAUUAUAAGGAUAUAUUUUUUAACAAUAGUAAUUGUUAUUGUUUGAUCAUUGCAAUAAAAUACCACUCGCAAUCAAUAUUAUUGUCUAAAGACUUCAUAAUUAAUGUUGCAAUAGGUAUUUUAAUGAGCACAUUUUGUUGUUAUUCUAUUUAAACUAUUAUAAUUUAUGUAUAUGUUAUAUUGAGUUUUAUAAUAUUAUCUUAAAAAGUUCCAACUUUUAGAAUUUAUGAAACAUCAAUAUCCUUCUUGGAUUUAGAUCUUGUAUAAGAAUAAAGAAACUUUAUUCCUCUCACAAUUUAAUAUUUCUAAAGUUAGAGUCAAGUCUGAAACGUGAGUUUUCUCCAAAACACAUCGGUAAUUUGAACAUAAAAUAUGAUGUUAAAAAUAUAUUAGAGGUUUUAAUUAAGACUACAUGUUUGUCGUAUUUUCUUUGCUUAAAUUAAAGUGAUUUUAAAGCAAUAAAGAGAAAACAAGCACCCAUUGAGAAGCUAGCAUUUCAAUAAGAUUAUUAGGCAAAGAAAAAUAAAAUGAGCACAUUAAGUAAAUAUUUAAUCUUAUAAAUACGCAAAAAAUUUGACUGUCAAGUAAGUUGCUCAAAACUUUUUCAUUUGAUAUUCUCCUUGCACAAUUAAGUUGUAACUCCUAAAGUUAGAAAUAAUCAUUUAAAUAAGAUAAUUUCAUAAGGUGUUCAAAAAAGAAAGUAGUGCAGCAAGAGAAAAUAAAAUAGUGAUCAUUUGAAAAAUACCUAAAAAGAUAAAGACAAAUAAAGAAAAUUAAAAUGCAACCGAUAAAUGUCCAAUAGUGUUGAAAAAUACAUCAAUUUAAAAAGGGCAAAGUCAACAAAGAUUGAGGUAUUUUUAGAUUGUCGUUAGUUGCUUAUAUUUAAAUUUAAUUCAAUUAUAACUUGUGACAAUCUAUAAUUACUGAAAGGUUUAAAAAAUUUGUUGAUGUAAAAACUUUUUUGAUGUAUGUUUUAAUGACAACAAACCUUAUGAAAUAAAUAAUUAAGUUUUAUGAAUGGUAAUCUACUAAUGAUUGCACUUGAGUUUUAUUUAAGAAAUAUGACUUGCAUAAGCUGGAGAAUGAGAUGAUUGACCGAGAGUACUUAUGAAACCCGACAUUGAAAGCAAGAAAUCAUUCACAUCAACAAGUGCAUAAGUAUCUACUCAAUAAUGAAAAAAUCUAAAAAAGAAUAUAUCAUAUAUUAAUCAUUUAAGAGAAUGAUUAUUAGAUCUUCAAGAUAGCAUCUUCAUGAAGCAAGUGUCCAAUACAUUCAUACUUAUACUAAAGUAUCUCAGUGAUACUUGAUGGACAAGAUACAACAUGAGAAACACCAAGAUAAAUUUUAGAAAGUAUUGCUUCAACAAAAGAAUGAUGGAAGAAACAUUCACCAUAAUGUUCUGGCUAUUCAAUUAAAGAACAAUUGAAGAAUGGAGCAAUUAAAAGUCAACUUGUGAUCUUUUUAGAAGAACAAAAUGUAGUAAAUCAAUUGGCAUUUUGCACAUGGUCUUCCCAACAUUUAAUGAGCAAUUAAAAGUUAAUAUUUGAAUGUCUACUUGCAAAAACAAACAUGCAGAUUGAUCUCCAAAUUGAUGACAAAUUGAUCUCAAGAGCAUUUUGGUUUAUCAAGAUCAUUCUGGUUCAUCAAAUGAUCAUUCAAUUUAUCAAAAUAUUAUUUUGGUUUAUUAAAAGGUCAGUCUGGUUUAUCAAAAUUAAUCAUUUUGGUUUAUUGAAAAUAAUAGUCUAGAAAAACAAAGAUCAUUCUGGUUUAUUAAAAACAACAGUCUGGAAAAACGAAGAUCAUUAUGGUUUUUUACAGCCUUCAAUCUAGUAAAACCAAAAUCAUUCUAGUUUGCGAAAAUUAAAAACCUUCUUCAAACAACAUCAUUCUAGUUUGUGAAAGUACCAGCUAUAUUCACAUAAUAUCAUUCUAGACAACUUUUCCCAAAAGAUUAAAAGAAGCAAAUUAAAACAUCAAAAACCAUAACAAGAUGUACCUCUAGAUUGAUGUUCUAUGAAACAAGUUCAACUAGGACGUCAAGGAUAAGACACUGAGGUUGCAUCUCUACAAAAAGUCAAUGUGCGUACUGAUGACUCUUCACCAUAUGCAUAUUUUUCAUUGAUUUUAGUCUUAUUUAUCUUUAACCAUUAGUUAAUUUAAGGAGUUAUUUGAUAUAUUUUGUUGAUUUUAGUUCUUGGAUUUAAUGAAAUGUUUAUGUUCUUAUUUGCUUGAUUAAGUAGUUCGUAGUUUUGUGUUGUUACUUUGUUUUGGUGCAGUGCUGAAUUUUGGUGAGAAAUCAACAUGACCUAUGUGGAGUAUUUCAGCCAUAUCUGGAGUUGUAGAUGUCCAAUUGGAGUCACACCAAGUGAAAAUGAAAGCUAAGAUCCAUAGCUACAAUAUUCAUGAAGACACCGGAACCAAAUUCAGACUCGAAAGAAGAGAAAUAUACAGUAUACGUCAGAUAGUAGAUGUUGUGCGUCUAAAGCGCAAUAGCCGCGUCUGAGACGAAUUUCUUGCCUUUCAGCGUGUUUUCUGCGUCUGGGGCACGUGGACACGAUAACAUUCAUUAAAAAUGCAAGUUUUCACUUUUUAGGGAUCUUUUUGACUAUUGAGAAGUUGGGAGACUUGUGCCACAACAUAGAAACUCAAAGACGGCCGUUUCUAACAUCAUUGAAGCAGUUUUAUCAAAAAUCAUUCAUGAAUGUUUCUUGUAAUUCCUCUAUAAUCUCUAUCUUUUAUAACUCUGUUAUGAGUAACUAAACCAUAUUUGUUAGAGAUGAGUGUAAUAAGAUGAAACCCUUAUUUUUCUAAUUUGAUUUCUAGUUAUAUGAAUGAGUUUAUUUAAUUGUUUUUCUCAUCUCUGUGCUUAAUGCUUUUUAUUGUUUGAUCAACAUUAAAAUAUUCUACAAUUCGUAUUUUGUAACAAAAGUGGACUUUAUGAAUUUGUAGUCUAGGGAUAGAUACAGGUCAUGAAACCAAUUAAAUUAGUUGCAGAGACAAUAGUUUAAAAAGAGGAUUCAUGUACGGUAAUGCUUAAUUCUAAUAUUAAAUCUACUAAGGAAUUAGGAGUUACUUUGGAAUUAAAGGUUCUGCCACUAAGACAUUAUGGCAAGAAUAAUAAAGAAAAUUUGGUAAUAAUUCAAUAAAGGAAUUCAGUAACUAGGAUCAAAUUAGACACCAAGGUUGGAUUCGAAGUGAAACUCAUCCCUGACAUUUUUCUGAUUAUAACAGAUCAAUUUUAUUAUUGUUGUUAAUUUCAAAUAUUAUUUCAAUCAAUUCAGAAACUUUUUGUUCAAUUUUAAUAAUUAAAUAUAAUUCGAAAGUAAAAUGCAAUCCUUGAGUUCGACACUCGGUACUACCGUUUUAAUUAUUACUUAGAACGAUUCAGCACACUUGCUGAAACGCUAUCACGUACAAAGUAGAAAAAGACUGACAUCAAACAACUGUCAAAAGCUCUCAGUCCAACACUUACUCAAAACAGAAAUGAAGAACGUUAAGGUUUUACACAAAAGAACAUCCUAAUUAUUCUAUUUUAAAGAUAUAAUUAAAACAUAUAAUUUUCCACACUCCAAAACACAAUUUAAAGAGUAUCAAGACUGCUCAAAUCAACGGUCAAGCCCAUAACUCGAGUUGAAUGCCCAAAUGAGGAAAACAACCUCUGAAUUGAUGACCAAUUCGAUCUCCAAAGUGAUGAGUUGUGAGCAAGGACACAAAUACAUUAUACUUACAUUAUUCUACAUAAAUUUGAUUUGAAAUAGUACCAACUGACAUUUCACAACUCAUUCACGUUUUCCAUUAGACUCAAAAGAAAGAACAUUCUUUGUUAGUCAAGAACAUUCUGGACAGUAAUAUAAACAUGUGUUUAAUUGCUUUAAAAUAGAUCUGACACUUGGGAAAUGUGUUCAACGACUAUAUUCAGUUUAAACUGGAUAUUCAAAGUCUUUUAUGAUCUAUAAAUUAAAUAUCAAUUGAAAGAUGAAUGCAAUAGUUCAAUUUAAAAAUCUACCAAUAUUUGUUCAAGUAAUAACAAGUCAAAACUCUUCAAGAAAACUCUAUCUCUUUUCUAUAUAUUUGUGGAUCAUCAUUUACUGAGUUUGUCUUUAUUUAUCUCAAACAAGUGUUGAGAAGUUUCAAGAUCCCAAACACUUUUAUCACACACAUCAUUUGUAACUCAAGUCUAUAUUUUAUGUUAGAUUGAGUAUGGUUGUAAAAAUGCUUUCAAGGCUAAAAUGUGAUUGUAAAAAUCCUUUCUAGGUUGAAAGGUGAAGAUUGUAAUUGACCAAGAUGUUUUCAAGAGAAAAAGUGUGAAGAAGAACAUUUUGGUUCUAAAGCACAUAAUGAAAAUCUCAUAGUUAGGAGGACUGGACUAGUCCGAGUUGGGUGAACCAGUAUACUUUUUGUGUGUGAUCUUUUUAUGUCUUAUCUUUAAUUAUUUGCACACACAAAUCGCACUUCAUUAUAAAUUGACCUAUUUUAUUUACUUCUAACAUAUCCAUAACAUUUUGGACAUUCUCUUUCAACUAAAAUUGAUCUUGAGUUAAUUUAAAUUAAGCACAAGAAUCAAAAUUUUAAAAGGGUCACAAUUCAAACUCCUAUUUCUUGUGAUUGACAUUGCUACUUCAAAAUCGGUUAUAGAUCAAUUCAAUAGAUGCUAUUGAUGUAGCAAAUUUAGGUCCUCAUAGGAUAUUAUUGUUUUUUCUCCCAAUCAAGUUAAGAAAAUUGUUUAUGAAGAUCAAAUUCAAAACCCUCAAGAACUAGAGCAUAUGAUGUCAUGAAUAAUUGACUGUAACGAGAAAUUAUAUUUGGUCUUCUUAAAAGAAUCUAUUGGACAGUCAUGAAACUCGUUGCUCAUUCUAAUUUUUUGAAACUAUAUAAGAUGAAUGUCAAUACAAUGUUUCUUAAUGACAACAUUAACGAAACAUCAUAGUGCAAAUCAAAGAAAAAUUUAUGUCAUAAACACAAAAUAAAUGAUUUGAAAACAAAUGUAAUUCAUCUUUAAGUUAAUGAAUAAGUCUCAUUAGUGAUACCACUGUUUCAUAAGGUAAUUAUCUUACGGCUUAAAUAUGUUUUUGGUCCCUGUAAAUAUAAGUUACUUUUAUUUUAGGCCAUGUAAAUAAUUUCUUUUAUUCAUAUCCUUGCAAUUUCAAAUAAGUUUUAAAAAGUCCUUAUUAAUUUUUUUUUAAUAAACAAUAAUGAAGUGGCAAAUUUGGCAUGAUUUGACUGUAUGAAUGACGCUGAGUACCUAUUUUUUAUUAUUAAAAAUUAAAUAACAAUUCAUUUAAUAAAAAAUUACCAAAAAAAUUGUUAAGCUUUCAUUUAUAAAUAAAAAAAAAAUUACAUAAAUUCAAAAACAAAAAACUCAGAAAUUUCAAUCCCAACCCCAUAAAUGGAUCAUCUUCUGCGAGCCAUUCAUUUAUUCAAAAAAGAACAAUUUCCAUCUUUCAAAAAAUAUUUUAUUAAAAUAAUAAAUAAAACAAAUCUUUCUUAUAAAAUAAAUAAACCCACAUGUUCAUCCUCAAGAAUCUGAGUUUCUUACUAUAAUAAAUGUACACGAAAGUUUACUAUAACAACAAUAGAUUAUGUUGGAACCAAAUUUGUUUUACAUUUAGAGUUUUGAUGUUAACAAAAAUAUUUUUUGAAAACAAUAUAUUUGACUUCAAAGAGUACGAAAGAAGAUUCAUGUUUUGGAAGAAAAUCUAAAAUAAGAUUUGAUUCAAAUUUAUACUUGAAGAAAAUCUAAAAUAAGAUUUGAUUCAAAAUUAUAAUUGAUGAAAAUAUAAAAUAAGAUUUGAUUCAAAUUUAUAAUUGAAGAAAUCUAAAAUAAGAUUUUAUUCAAAAUUAUAAUUGAUGAAAAUCUAAAAUAAGAUUUGAUUUAAAAUUAUAAUUGAAGAAAAUCAUUGACCAAGUUGAAAAGAAGAUAUAGUCUAGAUUUGAAGAAUACUUGAAGAAGAUUUGAAGAAGAUUCGAUCAAGAUUUAUCUACAACAAAAUAUAAAUAGAAUCAAUCUGAAGAAUUUACAAACUCAAUCUACAUAAAAUAGAAACAUAAUCAAUAUGAAGAAUUUACAAACUCAAUUUGAACAAGAUACAAUUCAGAAUUAAACAAGGUCUAAAUUGAAGUCCAAAUUUUCACUAUGAAUAGACACUCAAGGCUGAAGAAUAAAAAUAUCGAAAAGCAUAAAAGAGCAUAAGAACUCAAGCUCAAAGUUCUAAACUCAUCUUAGAGUUCAAAGAGAGAAACACAUGUUCAUGUUAGAAAUAUUUUCUGAGUGUUCUUUUCUUAGAGUAUGAGAGUUAUUAUCAUCAUCAGCUUUUUAGAAACAACUACUAAAGUUCCAAUCUUUUGUAUCCAACUCGACAGUGGUUUAGUUCCUUCUUCAAUAUGGGAUGUCAGGUUGUUAGGAGAAGACUUGGCUUGUAGGUCGAGGUGGUUAGUUCCUCAAAAGUCUAGGGUUGUCAGGUUGUUUGGGAAGACUGACUUGGAGGGUCAGGUGCUUUGUAUUCAAGGUUUUUGAAUUAGUCGAUUAAAGCAUUCUAAAUGAGGGGAUUGGAUGUAGCCAAGUUAGUGGUGAACCAGGAUAAAUCUACGUGUCAAAUUAUUUAUGCUUUCAUUGUUUGCUGCCUCUGAAUCUGAUUGCUUCUACUUUAAGUAAGUCACCAACACCAAACAAUAUUUUUUUAAUUAUUUAAAAACUAUCAAAAAGUUGUCAACUUUGGAAAACGACCCUUCUCUAAUUUUAACGUUCAUAUUAAACCUUCAAAACCUAUUGAUUAAUGGGAUUGAUUUCCUACUAAAAAAUUUAUAUUGUUUUACUAAAACUAAACCCCAAAUAAUUGGGUUUAAACAAACCUUUUCUGUUAGUUUUAUUCAAGCUCUCACUGCUACAAAAAUUGUAAAACACAUGUUUUUGAUGAAGACAAAGACCAAGGAAUGUGAUCAAAGUUACAAGCUCAAAAAGAAGUCAAAUAAUCAAAGUCAACUAUGGUCAAACAUAUUAGAAGUUUAAUAAAUGUAAAGGUACAUAAUGCAAUCUAAUAUUCUUAUAUUUCAAAUGCACACGAGAACCUUUCAUUUUAGUAUAUGCAUCAAAAGGAUUUUAAAAAUGUCAAAAAUGCAUAAACAAUGUUUUUGAAAAUAAUAUUUUUGGCAAAAUACAAUGUUGUAGCUGAAUACAACAUGUUGUAGCCGAAUACAGACAUGUCAGUAGCUAAAACUGAACAUCGGUAUUCGACUACGAGAUGGUGUAGUCGAAUACAAGUACUAAGUCAGUAGCAAAAACUAAACAUUUGUAUUCGACUACGAGAUGGUGUAGCCGAAUACAAGUGCUAAGUCAGUAGCUAAGAUUGCACAUUUGUAUUCGACUACAACCUGCUGUAGUCGAAUACAACAACAAGUUAGUGGCAAAAUUCACCUAGUUGUAUUCGAAUACAAGGUUUCGUAUUCAAAUACGAUGUUGAAAUUUCCAAUAAAAACUGAGCGUUACAGAGGUGUAUUCAACUACACACAAGUAGUAGUCGAAUACAACUGUAAACAAUGCAAUUUUUCAAUUCUAAAAUGAUUCUUGAUCAUUGCAUUUGUUCAUCAAACCUCUGGGAACGAUGGCCACUGAUCUGAAGUGAUGUCUAUGGAGUAUAAAUACCCCAUAACUUUAGUUUAAACAAAAAUCAAUCCUACUACCAAACCUUGAACAACUUUGAACAAUUUUUCUGAAAUAUUCUCAAAGUUAUUUUUCAUAUUUCAAGUACUUGCAUUACAUUUUCACAUCAUUGAGAAAAGUUUUCUAGUAUACUUGAAAUAUUAUUGGAUUGAUAUCAUUUACAACUAUUAUACUCAGAUUCUUAGUCAAGAACAUUUGUUAAAAAAUCAUUGAAGUUAUUGUAUUGUAUUUAAAGAAAGUAGUGUACUUUCUUUAAGUAUUAUAAUCUAAAAUAAUGGUGUUAUAUCUUAGGAAGUGUUUUAGAAGUUUGUAGCAGAGAUCCUAGGGUGGGAUUUGUACAUAUUCUAACAAUAGUGGAAAAAUCUCUUGUGGUGUGCAAGAGGACUGGAUGUACUGUUGGGCAUAAUGGGAACCAGGACAAUAUCGAUGUGUUCAUUAUUUUUCUGCCAUUUAUCUUUGUCAUACACUAUCUUAAUUAGAAAAAUCAAUCACUAAAUCUCUAAAAACAAGAAAAUUUCUAAAAACCUAAUUCACCUCCCUCUUAGGUGCACCUCUGUUCUUACAAUUGGUAUCAGAGUAGGUUCCGGUAAUUUGCUCAUCAAUCCUUAUUAAUGGCUUCCGCACAACCAGUUUUUAUAGAUGGUGGUAGUAGCAAUAAACCAUCAUGCUUCGUUGGAGAACACUGUGAAUUUUUGAAGAUACGCAUGCAGGCAUAUCUUGAGGCACUAGAAGAUGAUAUUUGGGAAGCAGUAGAAAAUGGUCCCUAUGUUCCAAAAACAGUCAUCGACAAUAAAGAAUAAACAAAAAUUAAAGUCUCAUGGACAGAUGAUGGCAAAAGGAAAUUGAUGUUUGAUAAGAAGGCAAAAAACAUAUUACAAUCAGCACUUGGAAUAGAUGAAUUCUUUCGCAUGUCACAUUGCAAAACGGCUAAAGAAAUCUGGAAUACACUUGAAGUAACUCAUGAAGGAACAAUUGAGGUAAAACGUUCUAAACUCGAUACAUUAUCUCAAGAAUAUGAAUUAUUUCGAAUGCAUCCCAGAGAAUCCAUUUUGGACUUACAUAAAAGAUUUUCUCAUAUGACCAACCAUUUGUCGACACUUGGAAAAAUCUUCAGUAAUGAUGAACUAAACCUCAAAAUGCUAAGAUCAUUAACAAGGUCUUGGCAGCCGAAAGUAACAGCAAUUUCUGAAAAUAAAAACCUAUAAAAAAGGUCUCUUUAUGCACUUUUUGAAAAACUUCAAGAACAUGAAAUUGAACUUGGAAGGUUAGAAAAUAAUGAAAGUCAAGAGCAGAAGACCAAGAAAAUUUCCUUGAAAGCAUAAUCAAAAGAACAAAUCAAUAAUAAAAAUUCAGUUGAAGAUGAAAACAUCACCUUUCUCGUAAAGAAAUUUGGUAAGUUUCUUAAAAACGAUAAAACUUUUAAAAAGAAAAGUUUCAGAAAGAAGGAUGUUUCCACUUCAAGCCAAAACUUCACUUGCUUUUAGUGUGGGAAGCAAGGACACAUAAAGUCAGAAUGUCUAAACACUAUCAAGAAAAAUGCUCUCAAUUCAAAAAGGCAUAUAUAGCAUGGGAGGACAAUGAAGUGAGUUCAUCUUCGAAUUCGAAAAGUGACGAAUGCGCAAAUGUUGCCUUGAUGGCAUCACAUCAAUCCGUUGAAGAAGAAGAAGUGAGUAACAAAUACUCUCCUCAUCAUAAUGAGACUAAUAGUGAAUUAAUUAUUGAAUAUAAUGAUGCUCAAAAUGCAAUUAAAGAACUACUUAUGGAAUGUAAAAAUUUAUUUAAAAUAGUGUCAACUCAAAAGAGACAAAUAUCAUCUCUUCAAGAGAAAAUUGACACUAUGAAAAAGGAUUCUGAAAAAUUAAAACAGAAUUUUACAUGCAAUAAGUGUGAUUCUCUUUCUUUCAAAAUUGUCCAAUUAAAUAGAGUAAUUGAAAGAUAUGAAAAAGGAUAAGUUGGAUUGGAAAAUGUGUUAAAUAUGCAAAGAUAUUCAAAUGACAAAAGUAGUAUUGGUUACUCAAAAUUUGAUAAACCAAGUAUAAAUAAAACUAUCUUUGUUAAAGCAAGUGACCAAUCCAAAGAGAAAAUUAUAAUUAUGCCAAGAGAUCAUCAUUUUAAGGAGAAAGUUAUUCAAAAGAAAUCUCACAUACAUACAUAUAGAAGUAAAUAUACUUCUACAUGCUUUUAUUGUGGUCUAAAUGGUCACACACCUAAUGCUUGUCAUUUUAGAAACUUUGGUGUUCCAAAUGGGCAUUAUGUGUGGGUCAAGAAAGGUACUAAUCCUCAAGGACCCAAAGCACUUUGGGUACCUAACAAAUCAUGAUCUUAUUUUGUAGGUAUGCAAACAAAGUACCUCUAAUAUGUGGUAGUUGGAUAGUGGAUACUCAAAACACAUGACCGAUGACAAAACAAAAUUUUCAGUUCUAACUCUUGAAUCAAAAGGUUAUGUGAUCUAUAGAGAUAACAACAAGGAAAAAAAUUUAAGCCUGUGAAAAAAUUGGUACAUCCCCAUCUCAUUCAAUAGAAGAUGUUCUAUAUGUUGAGGGUUUAAAACACAAUCUUAUUAGCAUCAGCCAGCUUUGCGACAAGGGUUACAAAAUUGCUUUUAACAAAGAUGAAUGCAUUAUCCGAAACGAAGUAUCAAAUGAAAUCCAGUUUGUUGGUAAGCAUUUUAAAAAUAUUUUUAUACUUAAUCUUGAUGAUUUAUCCUUAAAAAUGAAAUGUCUUAUGGUAAGUGAUAACAAUGAUGCAUGGCUGUAGCAUAAAAGAAUUACACAUAUCCAUAUGGAUCAUUUAAACAAGUUAGUCAAGCAUGACCUUGUUGUAGGCUUACCAAAGAUGAAAUUUAUAAAGGAUAAAUUAUGUGAUACUUGUCAAAAGGGUAAGCAAACUAAGGUUUCAUUUAAACCCAAGAAUAUUAUAUCAACCUCAAGACCACUUAAAUUGAUACAUAUGGACUUAUUUGGUCCAUCAAGAACUAAAAUUCUUGGUGGAAAUUCAUAUGGACUAGUAAUUCAUUGAACGUUUGUAUUCGAUUAUGAGAUGAAGUAGUCAAAUACACGUGCUAAGUUAGUAGCAAAAAUUGAACAUCUAUAUUCAACUACGAGAUGAUGAAGCCGAAUACAAGUGUUAAGUUAAUAACUAAGACUGCAAAUUUGUAUUCGAUUGCAACUUGGUGUAGUCGAAUACAAUAACAAGUUUGUUGCAAAAUUCACCCAGUUGUAUUCGAAUACAAUGUUUCAUAUUCAAAUACGAUGUUGAAAUAUCAAAUAAAAACUGAAUGUUAUAGAGGAGUAUUCGACUACACACAAGUUGUAGUUGAAUACAACUGGAAACAAUGCAAUUUUUCAAUUCUGAAAUGGUUUUGGAUCAUUACAUUUGUUCAUCAAACCUCUAGGAAUGAGGUCACUAAUCUGAAGUGAUGUCUAUGGAGUAUAAAUACCCCAUAACUUCAGUUUAAACAAAAAUCAAUCCUACUACCAAGCCUUGAACAACCUUGAACAACUUUGAACAAUUUUUCUGAAAUAUUCUCAAAGUUAUUUUUUAUAUUUCAAGUUCUUGCAUUACAUUUUCACAUCAUUGAGAAAUGUUCUCUAAUAUACUUGAUAUAUUAUUGGAUUGAUAUCAUUGUACAACUAUUAUACUCAGAUUCUUAGUCAAGAACAUUUGUUACAAAAUCAUUGAAGUUAUUGUAUUGUAUUUAAAGAAAUUAGUGUACUUUCUUUAAGUGUUGUAAUAUAAGAUAAUGGUGUGCUAUCUUAGGAAGUGUGUUAGAAGUCUGUAGCUGAGAUCUUAUGGUGAGAUUUGUACAUAUUCUAACAAUAGUGGAAAAUCUCUGGUAGUGUGCAAGAGGACUGGAUGUACCGUUGGUCAUAAGGGGAACCAGUAUAAUAUCGAUGUGUUCAUUAUUUGUACUGCCAUUUAUCUUUGCCAUACACUAUCUUAAUCAGAAAAAUCAAUCACUAAAUCUCUAAAAACAAGAAAAUUUCUAAACACCUUCAAAACCCCAAACCCCCCCCCCCCCCCCCUCUUAGGUGCACCUCUAUUCUUUCAAAAGUCGAUGGCAAGUUCUAUUCGAAUCCUAAUCCAAGCCGAACAUAGCCGCCUACGUCGAGAAGAAUUUAGAAACAACCAAGCCUUAUAUUAUGAUGCCAUCGCUGACGUUGAAGAUAGGCUAAGAUGGAAUAGUUGAAUCUAAGUUUAAGAUGGGUUUGGAUGGGAGCAGAGUGGUCCUUAGUUAACUGUGGUAUAUGCUUGUUGUGCGAAACCGAGAUGUUUUUAACGAAAGUUUAACAAUGAAAGAUCUUGGAGACGUCUCUUUUUUUAUUUGACAUUGUAAUACCUAGAGAUAUUUCUCAUGGUAUCCUUGGGUUAUCACAUGAGAGAUAUAUCAAAUCAAGUGACAUCUUAAUCACUUAAGGGAUACUAUUUUAGUCUCAAAUUUUGCUAAAUAGAAAAUUUUGAAAUUCGUAACCAUUAGUUAUUUCUCCAUGCUUUAGUUAUGGCGAGUCUAAUAUAUGAUCUUAUUUAUACGUAUUUGGAAAUAGUGUAUAUAGUACAAUCAAUUGAUAGAUACUUUAGCAAUAUAUGUUUGAAUUACUAACAAAAACAACCAUAAGGAUUGUUAAAGAGAACAAUAGAGGUUAUGUUCACUAAUCAGAGAUCUAACAAUUUGGAGAUCAUCAGUAUAUUUGACCUUGACUUUUUAGAUGUCUACAUAAAGAGGACACCUUAACUUAGGAAAUGGUUGAUUUAUUUAUGCCAUUUGGUUGCAUAUAGUUAAAAGUAUUGAAAGGCCACUCAAAUUAUAUUGUGACAUAAAUCAACCGUUUAAUGUUUCAACAACAAAUUUUAUAAAGUGUAUUGGUAUACAUCUUAUUGUUGUUGAAGAUUAGAAAAUAUAGAUAUAGACUCAAUGCUAGCUGACCCACUAAUAAAGGCUUUGACACCUAAGGUGUUUCAUAUGGUUGUUAUCACUAAGGAUGUCUUAGAUUAGUGGUAGUCUCUCUUCCUUUAUGUUCUAUACUUUGGUUUUGAAAUUGAUAUGGACUUUAUGUUACGAUUUUCUGUGGAAAUAAAGUUUAUGAGGUUAUCAUUAUAGUAACCGUUUUGUAUUGUGUGUGCAAAUAUUAAUUUCACACUAGAGGAACUUCAGUUUCAUCUCACUAAAGAUUUAGUUGGACCAGCUGGAAAUAGGCGUGAUAUAGAGAUCACAUUGAUCUAUGUCAUCAAGUACAUUGAUGUGGUGAUCGUCAUGGUUUAGUCAUAUAGUAUGUUAGUGACGACAACCGCCGUGGUCCCACUAUUAAUGUAUGAGGUGGACCAGAUUGUAAAAGAAAAUCUAAGGAUAAAUAACAUUUGGAUGUGCAUCUAAAGAAUUAUGAUAAAUUAUUACGAUAUAUUGCUCAAUUGGGAGAUCGUUGGAAUAUUUAUAUUUUAUUAUAUUAUACUCCAAUAAUAUUAUGUGGACAUAUAUUUUCUAUUAUAAUUAUAUUACCUAUUUGUCAAUAAAGACCUUAAUUUAUUAGUGAUCAUAUUAAAAAUAAGACUAUUUAGACUUUUUAUUAGAUAAUUAAUAAAUAAUUAACUAAAUGAUAUUGGCCAAAUUAUGGGUGGAUGUUAGAUGUCCCAUUGAGGAAUAUUGAGAACCGAAUUGACUAUCACUCUACAUAUAUGCUAUGAUCUCCAAUAUACUUGACACACUGCAUAUUGUCUAUUCUCCCCCAUCUGAAUAGUGCUUAGGAUAUAAAAAGUCUAAGUUGAAGAAGAGCCAUAAAGUCAACAGGUACUCGUCAUCCGUCUCUAUUUUCAGAAUCAAUGCUUAGAGACAGUUCAAGCAUGCCACCAUACAGACUUUGUAGAUUGAUUUGGUAAUAUCACAUGUUAGAGUAUCUUGCAAAUCAUCAUUGACGCAUCCAAGCUUUUGUUCCAGAUUGAACUCUGAUAUAGCACGGGUGAGGAAAAAUUAUACUUACUUUAUCUAUAGUAUUUGUCUUAGCAUAAAUUUUAGAUUUAAAAAUUAAUGUAAUUCAGCUUGAUUUUCAACUAGAUAAACUUUAUAAAUGCAUGUGUAUGUUUUUUUUAAUAGGUAAAUGUUAAUAAAUAUAGAUGUAUGUACUAUUUUUUUAAUGGUGUAGGUGUAUGUACCAUUGGAAUAGUUAAAUCAUACAAAGAGGUAAAUGAUAGCGUUUCAGCAAGUGUACUGAAUCGUUGCAAGAAAUAAUACAAUGGCAGUAACGAGUUUCGAACUCAAGAAUUGCGUUUUACUAUCGAGUUGUAUUUAAUUACUAAAAUUGAACAAAUUUUUUUCAAAUUGAUUGAAAUAAUAUUUAAAAUUAACAAUAGUAAUAAAAUUGAUCCUUUAAAAUAAGAAAAAUGUCAGGGAUGAGUUUCACUUCGAAUCCAACCUUGGUGUCUAAUUUGAUCUUAGUUACUGAAUUCCUUUAUUGAAUUAUUACCGAAAUCUCUUUAUUAUUCUUGCCCUAAUGUCUUAGUAACAAAACAUUUAAUUCCAAAGUAACCCCUAAUUCCUUCGUAGAUUUAAGAUUAGAAUUAAACUUUACCAUACAGGAAUUCUCUUGUUAAACUAUUGUCUUUGAAACUAAUUUAAUUGGUUUCAUGACCUACAUCUAUCCCUAGACUACAAAUUCAUGAAUUUCUCAUCUCAAGCAUUCGUAAAGUCCACUUCCAUUUCAAAAUACAAAUUGUAGAACAUUUUAAUGUUGAUCAAGCAAUAAAAAGCAUUAAGCACAUAGAUGAGAAAAACAAUUCAAUAAACUCAUUCAUAUAACUAGAAAUCAAAUCAGAAAAAUAAGGGAUUCAUCUUGUUACACUCAUCCCUAAAAAAUAGGGUUUAGUUACUCAUGACAAAGAUACAAAAUAUAGGGAUUAAAGAAGAAUUACAAGAAUGAUUCAUGAAUGAUUCUUGAUAGAACUACUCCAAUGAUGUUAGAAACGACCGUCUUUGAGUUUCUUUGCUAGGGCAUAAGUCUCCCAACUUCCCAAUAGUAAAAAAGAUUCAUAAAAAGUGGGAAAAAUGCGUUUAUAAAUAUUUAGCAGUGUGCCACGCACCACAGGCGUGAAAUUUGCACUUCAGACACAAGUGGACAGAGUCAGGAAGGCCAAAAUGCGCUCCAGGCGCAAGUUUUUGCGCUACAGGCGCACAACAUUUGAUUUAUGACUUUGGUUCUGGUGUCUGCAUAAAGGUUCUGGUGUCUGCAAUGGAUCUUAACUUUCAUUUGUGUUUGAUUUGACUCCAAUUAAAAAUCUACAACUCUAGAUGUGGGUUAAAUACUCCACAUAUGUCAUGUUGACUUCUCACUAUAAUUCAGCACUGCACUAAAACAAAGAAACAACGCAAAAAUACGAAAAAUCUCUACUUAAUCAAGGAAAUAAGAACAUAAACAUUUCAUUAAAUCAAAGAACUCAAAUCAACAAAAUAUAUCAAAUAACUCUUCAAAUUAUCUAAUGAUUAAAGAUAAAUAAGACUAAAAUAAUAAAAAAUAUGCAUAUGAUGAAUAGUUAUCACAACUCUAAACUUAAUAUGUUGCUUGUCCCCAAGCAACAAUUAAUUUCAGAUUUGGUACAGUUAAAAGUAAACUUAAACUCAAUUUCUCAAAUCAAAUCAAACUCAAUUUUCAAAAUUUCAGCUACUACAAAACAUUCAUCAUGCUAUAUGGUUGCUUACAAAAAACAACAAUUUGUACACUUUAGCAUUCAAUCGUCAAUUUAAAUUGCUUAGAAUGAUGUGAUUGAUCUCAACCAAUUAUAAAUUUAUAGUAGCUUUAAAUUUAUUGAUAAAAUGAAUAUAAUUAAAAUUUUAUAAAUUAGUGUUGCUAAAAUACUUUUCAAUAAACAAAAUUCACUGAAAAAACUUUAUUAAUAAGAUUCCAUUAAUUUUAUACAAUAAGAUUACAUUAAUUAAUAUUAUAUUAAUAUUAUUGAAAUUGAUUUGUCACAUGUAACAUUGGUACAAUUUUUUGUUGUAAGUGAGAAUAAAUUUCCUAAAAAUUGUAUUCUUUAGGAUUUUUUACGUAUAAAAUUUGGAUUUGAAAUCUUGAUAAUCUUAAUAACCUUACCUUAAUUAGUUGUAUUGUUAAAAAACGUUUCAUUGCUAUAAACAAAAAAAAUCCAUUUUCUUAAAGAUCAAACCACCCUAAAAACUAUUUACUAAAGAUUCAUUAGUUUCAUAGCAAAAUAAGAACAUUAAAUUAAUAUCUAUCUAUCUAUCCUAUAUAAAAAUAAAAAUAAAAGAUCUCGUCUAUUUUGUAAAAUGUACACGUAUCAUUAAAAUUGAACACAAAAUUGAUUAAUUAUAUGAUCAUAAUAUGAUAAUAAUAAUAAUAAUCAUUUUAUGAUAAUGAAUAUUAUAUAGUGUUGUUAAAACGAAGAUCAAUCAAUCACUAAAUCAAGAAUGUUAUUGGUUUCUGUAAAAUGAAGAACAUUCUUCAUUUUCUGACAAACAAAUUAAAGCUUUCAAUGCAAAAAAUGAGCACACACGAUUGUUAACUCAGUUCAGAGAUGAACUCAUACAUUUGGGGGACUGGAUCAAACUUUGAAUUAUCACUAAUAUGAGAUGAAAAAUAAUUACAAUGUUUUGUUGCCAGUUUUCCACACUCUACAAAACUGCAACUUGCAUUCUCUAUGAGUCUCUCUUAUUUUUCAGCAUUGCUUAACUUGGCUUAUAUACAAGUUGUUUAUAAUUUAGAAGCAACAAACAAAAGUAGUUAUAACUAACUAACUGAAAACUAACUAUCCAAAGUUAACUCUAUCUUCAAAGUCUUCUAAUUGAGUACCACAUAUUAACACAUCUCCACCUUGGUACAAAAUGAGAAGCUCCAGUCUGUGAUUCUUCAAGUCAGAUCCUCUUAGUCCUUUGCCUCAGUUUCUGGAAUUGAUCUUAAGCAAAUUCAAACACUGUCUGAAUUUGUUUAGUGUGACAUGUUUUGUAAACAUGUCAGCUGGAUUGUCACUUGUGUGCAUCUUUGCCAUAUUUAUCUCACCCUUUUCAAUGAUAUCCCUAAUGAAAUGGAGCUUGAAGUUUAUAUGCUUAGUUCUUUCAUGAUACAUUUGAUUUUUACUCAAAUGAAUGCACUUUGGCUAUCACAAUUUAUGCAACCUGACUCUUGUUUAACACCAAGUUCAAUGAUAAAUCCUUUCAGACAAAUUCCUUCUUUCGCAACUUCAGGAAGAGCAACAAAUUCUACUUCUGUUGUUAAUAAUGCCACUAUGUGUUGGAGAUUAACUUUCCAACUGACUGUGUUGUUGUACACUGUAAACACAUAUCACGUAAGAUACCUUCUUCUAUCUAAAUCUCCAGCAAAAUUAGAGUCUACAAAUUCUUGGAUUGGUUUUGAUGGUUUUCAACUUUUGUUGUAUUCCAAACACAUGCUUUGAGUUUCCUUUAGAUACCUUAGAAUCCAUUUGACAGAUUGCCAAUGGCUCAUCCCUAGAUUUCCUGUAAAUCUGCUUGUGACACUUACAACAUGAGAAGUGUCUGACCUUGAGCAGACCAUAGCAUACAUGAUACUCCCUAUGGCACUUGCAUAUGGUAUUGUCUUCAUGUUUUCUAUUUCUUGGUUUGUGUUUGAUGACAUGUCUGAAGAAAUUUUGAAGUGAGUUGCAAGUGGAGAGCUAACAACCUUUGAUUCACUCACAUUGAAUCUAUUUAGGACUUUUCCAAUGUAGCUUUCUUGAGAAAUUAUCAGUUUUCCUUGCUCUCUGAUUCUGAUGAUUUCCAUUCCUAGAAUUCUUUUGACUGGCCCCAAGUCCUUCAUCUCGAAUUCUUUCUUCAGUAGGCUCUUCAAUUUUUCUAUUUCUUUCAUACUCUUAGAUGCUAUUAACAUGUCAUCCACACAUAUAGCAACAAGUAAAUGUAUGUUGCUGAUGAUACUUGUUUAUAAUACACACAACUAUCAAAAAUACUUCUAACAUAACUUUGACUAAGCAUGAACGAAUCAAAUCUCAAAUACCACUAUUUUGGUAAUUGUUUUAGCUCAUAGAGUGACCUCUUUAGCAAGAAGACCCAAUCCUCAUUUCCUUGAGUCCUAAAGCCAUCUGGUUAUUGCAUUAAGAUUGUUUCCUUCAGGUCACCAUGAAGAAAUGAUGUUUUGACAUUCAUCUGCUCUAAUUCCAUGUCAAAGUGUGCUACCAUGGCUAGAAUUAUCCUUAUAGAUGCAUGCUUGACAACCAGAGAAAAUAUUUCAUUGUAGUUUACACCUUCCCUUUGAGUGAAUCCCUUUGCUACUAGCUUUACUUUGAACCUAGUUGGUUCAACUCCUGAAAUUCCGUCAUUCCUCUUGAAGAUCUACUUGUUGCCUACAAGUGUUGUUCCCAAGUAUUGUUCUUCUCUAGUGAUUUCAGCUCCUCAGUCAUGGCUAAAGUUCAUUUGUCUUUGUCUUGCGACCUGACAGCUUCAUUGUAGUUCAUAGGAUCUUCUUGUACGAUUCCUUGAGCAGCAUGUAAUGCAUAACUGACCAUGUCUACACAACUAUAUCUUUGAGAGGGUUUUGAUGUCAUUCUUUCUCUAUCCCUGAUGAGAUUCUAGUCAUCUACUUCAUGUUCUUCUGGACUAUCAUGGUCUGGAAACAUAACAUGUUCAGAUGUAUCAGUCUUGUCUUAUUGAGUCGGCUAUUGAUCUGAAACCAAGAAUGCUCUUGGUUUUUGGUGACCUUUCUCCUUUUAUAUGGCUUGCUCCACCACAAGAUAAAAUCUCUCAGCUUCAGUUUGAUGUGCACUUUCAUUUUCAGCUUUGGUUAUUGACUUAUAUAGGUUAGCCUCAUGAAAUUUAACAUCUCUACUGAUGAUACAUUUCCUACUUUCAAGACACCAUAUCUUAUAACCUUUUACACCACUUGGGUAUCCAACAAAGUACCCUUUCUUGGCUCGAGGAACUAGUUUCCCUUCAUUUACAUGAUAGUAUGCUGCACAUCCAAAAACUUUUAGGUGACUGUAAUUAGCAGCAUGUCCAGUCCACAUUUACUGAUGAGUUUUGAGUUUAAUUGUAGUUGAAAGACUCAAGUUUAUCAAAUAGAAAGUGUAUGGACAACUUCUCCCCAAAAGUGUGCAGGCAUGCCUACAUUUGAAAGGAUGCAUCUCAUUCUUUCAAGCAAUGUUCUAUUCAUCCUUUCAGCUAGUCCAUUUUGUUGAGGUGCGUGUCUUGCAGUCAUAUGCUUAUUCACUCCAUUAGUUUUGCAAAAACUAGUGAACUCCUCACUACAAAAUUCAAGUCCAUACUUUUAAGGUUUUGAAUGCUUCAUCCUUACUUUUCAACAAGUAAAUUCACACUUUUCUACUAUAAUCAUCAACAAAUAUAAUGAAAUACUGGUUACCUCCAUGUGAAGUGUAACACCCUUUUUUUAAUUAAUUAAUUUAAAAUCGUUAGUUUUGUUUAUCCUUUUAUUAAUUUAGUGUGACGAUAGUAAGAUAAUAAUUCUUUGGAUGUUUAAUUAUUUGAUAAAGUAUUUUCAUAUUAAAUAAUUUAUUAUUUGGACUUUUAUUAUUGACUAAGUAAAAUUCGUAGAAAUAUUUGUCUUAGAGUGAACAAUGACCAAGCCAGAUUUGACUAAGUCAAAAUUGAAUCACCCACACUACUAUUUUUAUAACUAUAUUUUAUAAUAUUUAGUUUAUAUUGUGUCCAUUCAAAUGUGUAACUAGCAAGAAUAAAUACAUGAAUGUCAAUUAAUUCUUAACAGUUGAUCAUUGAAUGACAUUAUUUCAAUUUAAUUCCUUAUUCAUGUGUGCAAUUAAACCCAAUGAAGAGAAUUAUUCAUUCUCUCUGAUCAACUUUAUGCCUCCUUUAUUAGUCACAUACACCUCUCCUUCUUAGGACACGAUUAACUUGCAGUAGAGGAAAAUAAGUCAUAAUCACUCACACGCCAUUACCAACACUACACUUAUCUCGAAUACUUUCUAAGCCACUCAAAUAACCAUCCUUACAUUCCCUCGCAUUCUGAUCGAAGCUAUAAACUUUUAUUCAUUGGUGAGAUUUUCGAGGACUAUAUAGUGGUACGUGGAAGGAAAACGUCCAAGGUAAGGGCUUUUCCCCAUGCAGAGUUAGGUUAGAUAUUAAAUUAGCGAUUCGUAAGAUAUUGAUAUGAUGUCUGGAUGUAUUAAAAGAAAAAUGUCGAUUUUAUUUUCGUCAUAAAGAAAUUAACUAUCAUGCUUUGAUUGUUUCUUUUGAGUAAUAUCUCUAUUUUGAUGAAAUUAAUUAUAGAAUUAUACUUUAUUACCAUACCUUCAUCAAUAUGUUUGUUGUGAAAACGUUCAAUGCCAUACAUGUUUUAGAGUACUUAAUUAUAAAGUUAUAAUUUUUAUAAUGAUGUAGUCAUUAACAUGUUUAUUAUGAUGUAUUUAAUUUUAAUCCUUGAUUCUUGAGUAUUUAAAUUUUAAAACUUGACUUUUAUGAACAAUAUACGUGUUUUGAUGAAAUUGAUGAAAAGUUUAUUUUUCAUUUACCAAUAUGAGGAAAUUGAUUUUUGAAUGCAUUAAUGAAUAGUUUUCUUUGUGGUUGCCUAAGUGGCUAGCGAUUUGUACAUUUUGAACAUCAUUAUCAUUGUCAUGACAUACCAUAUGCAUCUUUGUGGACGCCUUAGUGGCUGGUUAAAUUUUCCCCAUUGGUAUGGGUGACUUCUGUGUGGACGCCUUAGUGGCUGGCUAUAUCCGGAUCAUGUAUGUUUAGGACAUGCAUAAUUUGCAUACAUUUUAUUGCCAUUAAUAUUUUUAUAUAAUUAUUUAUUCUAAGGUGAGUUACUGCUUGUUGUUUAGAUAUAUUUUAUAAUUUUUGAUACACCUUAUGAAUUAUAAAAAUCAUUUUCUCUAAAUCUUUUAUUACAAAAAGAUUUUAUAUUUAUAUUUUAUGGUUGUUAACUUAUUAUUUGGUCUAAUUUUGCCGUGGGAUGAACUGACCCCUUACACCAACAUUUAGGUACUAUCGAUCUCGAAGAGUUGCAUGAAUGACGUUUGUUUGGCGCACGCGCGUGGGAAAAAGGGGUAUUUUAAUAAAACAAUAAUGAUGCUUGUAGUAAUAAGACCGUUGUGAUACAAUUUUUAAUUUUAUUUAUUUUCAUCGUCGAGGGGUCCUUCCGCUAGGAAAAACUGGAAUUAUUCUAUUUUUAAGUGAACAUUUUCUACAAUUAAUAAAUUGUCUUUAUAAGAAUAAUAAUAUCCCAUAAAUUGCAUGGUAUUAUUUCUUAAAAUGAAAUCAAACUACUUACUAGAGAAAUUUUAUUGAUCAUAUGAUGGACUACUUUUUAAAAAAAAAAAUAUUUAAUGUCGUUUUUGAAAGAAAAUAAAUAUUUUUAAGUAAUGUCUUGGAUCAAAAUCCGGGGCGUUACAAUGUGGUAUCAGAGCACUAAUUUUUGGACAUUGGUGGGAUGGGACGCUUCGUGUAUGUCGCAUGUUUUUCUUGUGAUAUGUUAUUCAUGUUAAUCGUAUAAUCUUCUAAUUAUUUGAGUUUUACUAAGUAUUUAAAUUUCUAUUAUGUGUCGUUGAUUAUGUAACCUUCUUGAAAUUGAAUUCUAUUAAUUACUUAAACUUUUAUUAAGUUAUUAAUUGUGUAACCUUCUUGAAUUUGAAUUUUUAAGAAUUAUUUAAAUUCUUAUUAAGUGUCAUUAAAUAUGUUAAUUGCUUGGUUUUCUAAUUAUUAAAUUUUACUUAAAUUUCUAUUAUGUGUCAUCAAUUGUAUAACCUCCAUGAUUUUGCUAUUAAAUAUAUGUUUUAAAUAUUUGNNNNNNNNNNNNNNNNNNNNNNNNNNNNNNNNNNNNNNNNNNNNNNNNNNNNNNNNNNNNNNNNNNNNNNNNNNNNNNNNNNNNNNNNNNNNNNNNNNNNNNNNNNNNUUUAUUAAUUUUAAACUCUCUACUUCUUUUUAUACUAAGGGUUUGAUUUUCUAACUAUUUUAUGUCAUUAAUGACUUAAAUUUCAAUUAUGUGAAUUUAAUUGUCUAAUUUCUUUAAAAUUAUUAUGAUGAAAAAUAUGUUUUAAAUUCUUGAUCCUAUGAUUAGAAAUAAUUUUAAUCAAGCAAUAAACAUUUAUGAUUGUAUGAUAUUGUGAAUUAUGAGUUUAUUACCACGAUUUAAAAUUAUUUCGAUCUAAAUCACAAAGUAACUGGUGAGCUUUCAUCGUGUGAUCUAAAUGUAUGUAAUUAAAGACAAUGUUCUAAACCCUAUAUUAUGUAUAAUUGUAUGAUCCCCAAAAUAGAAGGGAAGGAUAAUACAAAAAGGUUGUAUUGGAGGGAUUCUGGCUAAGGAAAGACUUGGUUAUUAAGUGGUCCAUUGACCCACCUCUCUUUCCUGGUAACCCCUCCAAAGAAAUGCAAGAAAAUGGAGCAGAUGAAACAGAGCCGCCUGAAUAGGGGUGCUAUAGGUGGACCCAUCAGACCUCAGGGGCAUAACGACCAACAGAAUAGGGGCAGGCAUCAUCAAAAACACAAGCCAUAUGCCCGACCACUAGGGAAUGCUAGAGAUCAACCUCGACCUCAAAACAGGGAAGGUCAAGGGCCAAAAGUUCCAGGUCAGAACCAGGCGUACCCUGUUAAGUGUUUUCGCUGCAAUAGAGAAGGACAUAAGAUAUCUGAGUGUCCAAUCAGACCAAGGGUUUGUUACAUUUGUCAGAAACCAGACCAUUUUGCAAAUGAAUGCCCUGAUCGGAAGGACGAUAGAGCUGUCAACCGCAACAAUGUCAACGACAAUGUUGUACGCCCUACUGCCAAGGGACGUGUCUACCACAUCAAUGGAGAGGAAACUCCAUCUUCCUCUGAACUUAUCCAAGGUGAGUGUUUAAUUGCUGGAAAAUCACAUAAUGUAAUUUAUGAUUCGGGGGCAACACACUCAUUCAUUUCAUUGGAUUGGUUGGAUUCGCUCCAACUUACUGUUACUACUUUGCCGUUUGAUUUGGUGGUUACCCUACCUUCUACCGAAUCGGUGAAAUGUAAUACGGCUUGCUUGCAAUGUCCGUUGAUUGUGUUUGAUAUGAGAUUCAAUGUUGAUUUGAUUUAUAUUCCCCUUAAGCAUGUGGGAGUGAUAAAGGUAGAUUAAUGCAAUGUACUAAAAUCAAUGACUAAAAGUUCUUAAACCUCUGAAAUUGGGUAAAUAAUGAUAUUGUUAGAUUGAACGUAUUUGUGUGGGUUAAUUAUGAUAAAAUUUAUUAUCUCUUCUGAAAUUAAAAAAAUCAAUGAGUAAAAAUAAUUAGAAUAAAAAAAUUUAAUAUAGUCUACUUUAUAGAUUAUUAUUAUUAUUUACUCAUGUAAAUAAUAUUAGUUUGUCUCUUUACAAUAUUUCUUUUGUUCUAUGUAUCAUAUGAGAAUGUUCUUUUGUACUAUGAUCCAUAUUUUUUUUUGUUUGAUCAAAACAAUGAUCCUUCUUUCAUUUAUGUGUAAUUGUUAUGUUGGAAUGUCCUUAGCUCCUUAAUCAAUGAGACUUAAUAAAACCGGUGAUCAACACUUUCGUGUUGAAGAUGAUGAACUUAUUUACAAAUGAGUAUGUUUCAAAAACUUAAUUAAGUUUCACAGAAACCUGUGUUAUGAUUAAUACGCAAAGAAGACACAUUAAAUUACUUAAAAAAAUCAUAAUUAAUCAUAUCUUUAUGUAAUUAAAAUUUAUUAGCAUUAACAAUAACAACUAAGGGAGGUGAGAGAGAACCAAACACAAUUUGAUGCUGAAUAACUUUUUUCUUAUUUCUAAAUAACAUUAACAUUGGAAGAGGAUAAAUCUAAAUUUGAUGCGGAAGAAAAGGUUUUCCUUAAGAAAGAAAAACAAAUGGUGGUGCUCCAACGAUUUUGCAAAAAUAUGAAAACACUACGCCAAAAAUGACAUUUAACAGCGCCCAUUUUACAGCGCUUGCUAAACACAAGCGCUGUUGUAAUUAUAUUUUAAAAAUAACGGAACCUAUUACAGCGCUUUUGAUUCAAAGCGCUGUAAAACAAGCGCUGUAGUAGGUCAUAUAACGUUUGCGCAUCACGUUAUAAGGCUUUUACAGCGCUUGUAAAAAAAGCGCUGUAAAAGGAAGCGCUUUCGCGUAUCAGUUACAGCGCUUUUUUCACAAGCGCUGUAAAACACAUGCGCUUUCAUUGAAUUUAACUACCUAUUACAGCGCUUUUUUCACAAGCGCUGUAAAAUACAUGCGCUUUCAUUGAAUUUAACUACAUAACCCUCAUAUCCUCUACAUCUUUCAAAAAAAUACAUCUUUCAAAUAAUUAUAUACGUUGCGAACCCUAAUAUCCUCUACGUACUGUGCGGCCAUCUACGUUGUCUAAGGUAUUUUUUACACAUGAUCUGUUCUGUUUUGAAAUUUUUAGUUGAUAUUGGUUUCUUUUUGAAACUUGUUGAUAUGUUUUGAAAGCUUAUUAUUUUUGUUACUGCAUUUAUAUAGGUGGUAUAAUAUGGAUAGGAAAUGGAUUUCAGCCAAUCGAUUGUCAAAAGAGUAUGAAAUUGGAGUGAAGGAGUUUGUUGAGUUUGCAGUGAAGAAUGCAAAAGAUCCAAAUAGAGUAGUUUGUCCUUGUUUAAAAUGUUGUUUUGGAAAACGUGUUAGAGAAGAUGAAUUAGAAGGACAUCUAGUAUGUAAUGGAAUUGAUCAAAGCUACACAUGUUGGAUAAGACAUGGUGAGAAAAAAAAAGGAAACAUUAAUUUUGAGAAUAGUUCGACAUAUGCUUCAACUGACUUCGAUACAGAUACAUAUGAGCCGGACCGAGUUGAUGAGAUUGCAAAAGCAGUUGAAGAAGAUCUUCGAGAUUGUCCUAAAAUGUUUGAAAGUUUGUUGAGUGAUGCAGAGAAAGAAUUAUAUAAUGGUUGUACUAAAUUCACAAGACUGUCAGCGAUAUUAAAGUUGUACAACUUAAAAGCGAGUAAUGGAUGGUCUGAUAAAAGCUUUACAGAAUUAUUAACACUCAUAAAAGAUAUGUUGCCAGAUGAUAAUGAACUUCCCAGUCGAACCUACGAGGCUAAACGGAUUUUGUGUUCUAUUGGAAUGAGUUACGAAAGGAUUCAUGCGUGUCCUAACGAUUGCAUUUUAUUUCGAAACGAAUAUGAACUACUUAAGGCGUGUCCGAAAUGCAAUGUCUCUCGAUAUAAGAAGAAAGAAUCUACUCCAGCAAAAGUCGUGUGGUAUUUUCCUAUAAUACCAAGAUUUAGGCGCAUGUAUCGCAGUGAAGAAGAUUCAAAACACUUGACAUGGCAUGCAGAUGAAAGAAUUAGAGAUGGAAUGUUUCGACACCCUGCAGAUUCCCCACAAUGGGCAAAAAUUGAUCACGAGUAUCCUGAAUUCGGGAUAGAGUCAAGAAAUCUAAGACUUGCACUUUCUACUGAUGGAAUGAAUCCACAUGGUCUUCAAAGCAUCUCACAUAGCACGUGGCCUGUGAUUUUGGUAAUAUAUAACCUACCUCCAUGGUUAUGUAUGAAGCGUAAGUUUAUGAUGUUGUCUCUGUUAAUUUCUGGACCCAAACAACCGGGGAAUGAUAUCGACGUAUACUUGACUCCUCUAAUCGAAAAUUUAAAAAGUAUGUGGGAGACAGGUGUGGAAGUUUAUGAUGGGUAUAAGAAAGAAUGUUUCAAUUUGAGGGCUAUGUUGUUCGGCACAAUUAAUGAUUUUCCAGCAUAUGGUAAUUUAUCAGGAUAUAGCAUUAAAGGUCAGUGUGCAUGUCCUAUAUGUGAAGAGAGUACAAAUUGGAUGCGGUUGAAACAUUGUAAGAAGAAUGUGUUUCUUGGACAUCGUAGAUUUUUACCUUAUAGUCAUCAGUAUCGUGGGUGGAGAAAUGCAUUCAAUGGAAAAUCAGAGGAAGGUAAAGCUCCUUUAGCACCGACUGGAUAUCAAAUACUUGAAAAAGUACAAGGUUUGACCAAUAAAUUUGGCAAACCUUUUGCGGGAGAGCUGGUGAAAACUGGGUGGAAGAAAAAGUCAAUUUUCUUUGAAUUGCCAUAUUGGAAGUCAUUGUAUGUAAGACAUUUCCUCGAUGUGAUGCAUAUUGAGAAAAAUGUAUUUGAAAGUGUUAUUGGUACGUUACUCAAUGUUCCAGGAAAGUCUAAAGAUGGCGUCAAUGCAAGAUUGGACUUGGUCGAUAUGGGAAUAAGAAAUGAACUGGCUCCAGUAAAGAAAGGAAAUCGCACAUAUCUACCUCCAGCCGCUCAUACUCUAUCUAGAAAGGAAAAAAUUGUUUUAUGUAAAUUUCUACACGAAGUUAAAGUUCCAGAAGGAUACUCUUCGAACAUUAAAAAUUUGGUUUGUAUGAAAGACCUCAAGUUAAAAGGUUUGAAGACCCAUGAUUGUCAUAUUAUAAUGGAGCAUUUGCUACCAAUAGGUAUACGUUCCAUUUUACCUGAAAAAGUUCGACUAGCCUUAACUAGAUUAUGUUUCUUCUUCAGGGAAAUUUGUAGUAAAGUGAUCGACCCUCAGAAAUUACCGACAUUGCAGAGGGAAAUUGUUGUUACUUUGUGUGAGCUUGAAAUGUAUUUCCCACCAUCGUUUUUUGAUAUAAUGGUUCACCUUACUGUUCAUCUGGUUAAGGAGACACAACUUUGUGGGCCAGCUUAUAUGAGAUGGAUGUAUCCGAUAGAACGAUAUAUGAAAAUAUUAAAAGGGUACGUAAAAAGUAGAAGUCGACCAGAAGGUUGUAUUGCUGAACGAUACAUUGUUGAAGAGGCUGCUGAAUUUUGUACUGAAUAUCUGUCCAAUGUUGAAUCCAUAGGGCUUCCCAUGUCUCGUCAUUCGGGAAGACUAUCAGGAGAAGGGAUAACUGGAAGGAGACUACUGACUAUAUCAAGGACAGAAUGGGAGCAGGCACAAUUGUAUGUUCUGCACAAUGAUGAUGAGGUUCAACCGUAUGUUACAAUACACAUUGAUCAGUUAUCUCGUUUGAACAUGAAUAGGAAUCAAAAUUGGAUAACUCGAGAGCACAAUCGAAGUUUUGUAACAUGGUUAAAAAAUCACAUAAUGUCAAAAUUUGAUAUAGACCCCGGAUCAAUUUCAAAUAGAUUGAGGUGGCUAGCAAAUGGUCCGAGCUUACAUGUCUUUUCUUACACUGGUUAUGUUAUUAACGGCUACACAUUUUAUACCAAAGAACAAGAUGAUCAGACCACUAUGCAAAAUAGUGGAGUCACUCUCGUAGCUGAAGCGAUGCAUGUCUCAAGUGCAAAAGACAAAAACCCAAUAUAUGCAAAUCUAUCAUAUUUUGGGGUUAUCGAGCGCAUAUGGGAGUUAGACUACACAAUGUUUCGUGUUCCCAUAUUUGGUUGCAAGUGGGUCGAUAAUAAUAAUGGCGUUCGGAUUGAUGAGUCAGGAUUCUUGCUUGUCGAUUUUAAUAGGGUGGGAUACAAAGACGAGCCUUUUAUUUUAGCGUCGCAAGCUCAACAAGUGUUUUAUGUCACUGAUCCUUCUAAUGAUAAAUGGUCUGUUGUCCUAUCGACCAAUAAAAUAAGUGAUGAUAACAAUAAUGAUGAAGAUGUUGGUAAUGAUCUUUUAUUUGCAACAUCACAACAACCACAUGAAAUUGAUUCAACUGAUGAUGGUUUAUAUCUUAGAGAUGAUCAUGAUGAGGGAAUUUGGAUUAAUCCAUCGUUUCGUAUUGUAAAUGGACAAACAAAUGUGAAUGUCACCAGGAAAAGAAGAAGGGCAUCUUAAUGUAUAUAUAUGUUUAAUUGUUUUAUAUAAGCUAUGCAUGUAAUCUGAACUGUGUUAUUGUAAAUAUGCAUGUAAUCUGAAUUGAGUGUUUUAUACUAAGUUCUGAUUAAUUUAUUUUCUGAUUAAUUUAUUUUCUGCUUAUAUUUAGCUUGAUUUGAGUGUUUUAUACCAAGUUCAUGUAACAAUGAGUGUUUUAUAUUUAGCUUGAUUUACAUGAACUGAACUGAAUAUAAAUUAGUAAUUUACAUGAACUGAACUGAACUGAAUAGAGAGAUUCUCUUUUGCUCAGUGCAUAUAUAUAUAUAGAUUCUUCAGAAUACUCAUUUCUAAUAAUUCAUCAUCUCCUAAAGUAUUGUGAUAAAGACAAUGAUAACAAUAUUUUUAAUCCAAUAAACAAUGAUAAAAAUGUUUUUAAUGUCAUCCCAACCCAAAUAAACCAAACACAAAAAUAAAAUAAAGAGACAUUUUACAGCGCUUAUCUUAAAAAGCGCUGUAAAAGAUCCUUUUAAAAAUAAAAUAAUGAGUGUUUUAUACCUUUUACAGCGCUUUUCACACAAAGCGCUGUAAACGACUCUUUUGAAAGUGAGUAAAAAAGACAUUUUACAGCGCUUAUUUGACAAAGCGCUGUAAAAAAGCUUUAAAAAUAAUAUUCAUCAGACACCUAAUUUCUUCAAACACCUUGUACGCAUCAUGGGAAUCCAAAAAACAUCAGACACAAACCCAUUUCUUCAAACACCUUGUACGCAUCAUGGGAAUCCAAAAAACAUCAGACACAAACCCAUUUCUUCAAACACCUUGUACGCAUCAUGGGAAUCCCCAAAAACACCAGACACAAACCCAUUUUUCGCAACAUGGCAAUGAUCCUGAAUACCAAUUAAGUUUCGAUUUAAGAAGGAAAGAGAAUGUAAAGAGAUAAAAAGGGUGUUGAGGUGGAGAUUGAAUUGUGAAAGAGUAAGCUUUGAUGUUUGUGAAGAAGAUGCAUAAAAGGAGAAGAGUUUGGUGAAGAGGAAGGGAUUUUUGUGGUGACCAGUUACUACUAUGUGGGUUUUGCAUGCAUGUUGAGCUUGUUUAAAAAAUAACAUAACAUAACAAAACACAAAAACAAUAAGGCCUUUUACAGCGCUUAUUUGGAAAAAGCGCUGUAAAAGAGCCUUUUAAAAUUAACAUAAAGAGACAUUUUAGAGCGCUUAUGUGGAAAAGCGCUGUAAAAGGCUUUAAAAAACAUUCAUAUAACAUAAUAACACACGGAGGUCUUUUACAGCGCUUAUUUGGGAAAAGCGCUGUAAAAGAGCCUCUUAAAAUUAACAUAAAGAGACAUUUUAGAGCGCUUAUGUGUAAAAGCGCUGUAAAAGGCAUUCAAAUAACAUAAUAACACACGGAGGUCUUUUACAGCGCUUAUUUGAAAAAAGCGCUGUAAAAGAGCCUUUUAAAAAUUUAACUAAAGAAGCCUUUUAGAGCGCUUAUGUGUGAAAGCGCUGUAAAAGGCAUUCAUAUAACAUAAUAACACACGGAGGUCUUUUACAGCGCUUAUUUGAAAAAAGCGCUGUAAAAGAGCCUUUUAAAAAUUUAACUAAAGAAGCCUUUUAGAGCGCUUAUGUGUGAAAGCGCUGUAAAAGGCAUUCAUAUAACAUAAUAACACACGGAGGUCUUUUACAGCGCUUAUUUGAAAAAAGCGCUGUAAAAGGCAUUCAAAUAACAUAAUAACACACGGAGGUCUUUUACAGCGCUUAUUUGAAAAAAGCGCUGUAAAAGGCAUUCAAAUAACAUAAUAACACACGGAGGUCUUUUACAGCGCUUAUUUGAAAAAAGCGCUGUAAAAGAGCCUUUUAAAAAUUUAACUAAAGAAGCCUUUUAGAGCGCUUUACAAAAUAAGCGCUGUAAAAGGCUUAUAAAAAGCGCUGUAAAAGUGUUACGUAUAUAUAACAGUUACCUCUUCAGUUUCCUCUUCAUUACGUAACCUUCAUCUCAACCUUCAUUUCUUCUCUUCUUUUGCAAACCCUAUCAUCCCGUCCUUUACGAACCUUAUUUCCACGAUCAUCUCCUUCAUUUCGAACCUUAUUUCCAUCCAAGAUCAUCUCUCCCAUUUCACACAAUAUAUUUUCAUUGAAAUACGUAACCCUCAUUACGUAUUUCUUCAAACCGUAUUUCUGUGAACCAUAUUUCUGUGAACUUUCUGCAAACCCUCUUUUCUUUGCAUUUCGUCUUUCUUCGAACCAUCAUUAUUCAGGUAUUGAUGUUAUUAAAUUUUUGUAAUCAUUAGAAUGCAUGUUGAGCUUUUUUAAGAUAUACUGAUACAUGUUGAGUUUGUUUAUAAUAAUGCAUGAUCCAUGUUGAGCUUGUUGAUGUUAUACUAAAGUGCAUGUUGAACUUGUUGUAGUUAAAUGGAUACAAACAAAGAUUUAGAAGUUCAAAAUGAAGAAGUUGGCACCUCUAAGACUUACGAAAAAGAAGUCAAACGUGGUGCAACUAUCAUGCAAAGGGUGAUUAAAGCACGGAGCAGUGGCAUUAAAUUUGAGGUAUACUAUAUAUACUCUGUUUGCUGUGUGUUUUUUUAUCUUUUUUUAGGGUUUAGGGCAUGUACUUACUAUAUGAGUUUAUUAGGUUGGCUGGAACGAGAGUGGUCAGCCAGUUGACCCCAACAGCUCCAUGUUUGUAAGCUACAUUGGGGCUGUUGUUCGUCAAAAUGUCCCAAUAACAAUAGACAACUGGAGAGAUAAGGCGUUGAAGGAUGCCAAAGAUAUCAUCUGGAAUGACAUUCAAGUAAAUAUUUUGAUCUACUCUUUUGUCAUUUAUAAUUUUUUUUCUGUAAAAUACAUUACUUAUAAUUGUUUUCAUUGCAGACCACUUUUGUUCUUGAUGAGGAACGAAAGUCAUAUGUUUUGAGAGUUGCUGGGAAAAUCCAUCGUGGAUUUAGAUCCCAUCUCUCAAAUUUCUAUCUAAAAGAUAGAGAAGGAAACACAAAUGCUGAACCUCCAAAGAUAUAUCAACAUUAUAUAUCAAAGGAUGAAUGGAGUGCAUUUGUUUCCAAACGUUCUGACCCGGCGUUUGUCGUAAGUGAUUAAUUUAUUAGCAUUUGUGUUUUAUUAUUCAUAUUCGUAGCGUAUUUUAAAUUUUUACACAAUUGCUAUUUUUUUUUUAUAUAGAAUAUUAGUAAGGCAAAUCGCGAACGGGCAAGCAACCCAAAACACCCAUACAAGAAAUCACGUAUGGGAUAUGCACGCCUUGAACAAAAAAUUGUAAGUAAUUAAACAUCACUUGUAAUUUGUAUUAUAAACUAUAGUGUGUAACUAAUUUGUAUUAUUUUGUUUAUGAUUUUAACGAAUAGAGAAAAGACACCCAAGCCGAUCAACCCUUGGGUCGUCAUAUCUUAUGGAAGGAAGCGCGUGUUAACAAAGAAGGAGUGGUUGAUAAUGAAAAUGUCAAGAAAGUUGUAGAACUUUGUGUAAGUAUAUUAUCACUUUAAUAUUUUUUAAUAUUGUAUUUUAAAAAUGCUAUUGAACUUAUCUUUUUAAUGUUACAUGUAUUUUAGGAAACUAUUGAACAAAGUUCUGAAACUCAAGAGGGCAACAAGGAUACGUGCAGGGACAUUCUUGGGAAAGUGUUUAAUGUCCCUGAGUAUUCCGGUCGAGUGAGGGGGAAAGGAUUUGGCGUAACUCCCAAAAGCUUUUUUCCUCAAGAGAAGCGCCAAAAACCUUCCAACGAGGAAGUAUUAGAGAAGCUCAGAAUCUUAUCGGAGCAAGUGGCACUCUUGGUGAAUACGAAUAAAGACAAGCAACUUCCGGUUCAGCUCCAACCUGAAAUACAAAUGGAGAGUGAAACCGGGAGUUGCAACGUCGGUUUGAAGAGUAUUCCCGAGGUAAUUAAUUACUUACUACUUACUUGCUUAUGUAAUUACUUAUGUAUUAAACAAACUUAUAUAUUAACUGUACUUAUGUUUUAACUAUUGAUGUAGGGUGUCACUACAUGUGUCCUAUACUUGUCCUCGCCGACUCAACGGAAGGUGGGAAAAGGAAUAUUGCACAAUACUUCGGGAGAAGUAUUGCACAAUAUUCCGAUCCCCGCGGGCCAUGUCAAAGUAUCGCCUACGGUUGCUUUCGAACCAACUGCACCGUUGCCCAUACCGGACAACGAUGGAGAUAUGAAGUUCUUAAGCGACGCUAUUGGCAGUUACGUGGCAUGGCCCACACACCUUGUUGCCCUCGAAAAAAAGAUUCCCAAGGACAAAUCAGUUACAUCUCCCGAAAAGGUUUGUCACAUUUAUUGCCUAAGGUUUUUUAUUUUUUCAGAUUCAAUAAACUAACAUUUUACCUCAUUUUUGUAGGUCCAAAUAAAUAAACCACCCCUACAGCCAAAAAAAGGCAGCAGACCUCAAAAAUUGGAGGUUAAUAGGGCUGCCAAACUACAAAGGCUGGAGGGUAAUAAAGCUGCAAAACUUGCAGCAACAAAAAAUCUGGAUCGGGGAAAAUCGGUCGCUGCUGCUGCUGCUCCUAAUAAAAGUCAGCCACGCCUUGGUAAAUACGGGGCGUGUCUUGACAUCCAAAUAAAAAGGAACAUGGGCAGCAGCAACGAUUCGCCCAUUGUACAAAUGAAUCAAGACAUCUUUGGAGAUGAGUAUAUUGAAUACCUCGAAAAGGAGCAAAUGUACGAUCUUCUCGAACAUAAGGAGCUGAGUGUUACUGUAAUCAGCUUGUACAUAAGGUAAAAAAUACUUUUAAUUGCAUUUAUUUGUAAUUAAUUAAAUGUAUUGGUAAUUAAUCUAGUUUAAAAUUUUCAUUGAAGGUUUUUGUACGAGAAGGUCGUGUGCACGAGGAAACUGUCAAAUAAAUACUCAUUCUUGUCUCCGCAUAAGAUGUCGAUGUUCAAACUCGAUCCAGACAAUGUAAAACACUACAUUGUAGAUAUGUUUUUAAGAAAUAAAGAAAGUGAUAAAUUGUUCUUGGCACCAUAUAAUUCAGGGUACGUAAUUUUAUCUUUUUUAAUUGAUGAGAAUUUAAUUUAUUAGUUGUCUAUAAACAAAAUUGCUUAACCAAUUUUUUGUUGUUGUAGGGCACAUUGGGUGCUAUUUGCAAUCAAUGCGGUCUCUGAAGUGAUAUACUAUUUGGAUCCCGUGCACGGCGAUUACACCAAUCACCCCGGAAUAAAGAAUAUGCUCGACACGUAAGUAAUAUUCAUUUAUUUCUUACAUAUAUAUAUUUAUAUAUAUAUAUAUAUAAAUAUAUAUAUGUAAGAAAUAAAUGAAUAUUACUUACGUGUCGAGCAUAUUCUUUAUUCCGGGGUGAUUGGUGUAAUCGCCGUGCACGGGAUCCAAAUAGUAUAUCACUUCAGAGACCGCAUUGAUUGCAAAUAGCACCCAAUGUGCCCUACAACAACAAAAAAUUGGUUAAGCAAUUUUGUUUAUAGACAACUAAUAAAUUAAAUUCUCAUCAAUUAAAAAAGAUAAAAUUACGUACCCUGAAUUAUAUGGUGCCAAGAACAAUUUAUCACUUUCUUUAUUUCUUAAAAACAUAUCUACAAUGUAGUGUUUUACAUUGUCUGGAUCGAGUUUGAACAUCGACAUCUUAUGCGGAGACAAGAAUGAGUAUUUAUUUGACAGUUUCCUCGUGCACACGACCUUCUCGUACAAAAACCUUCAAUGAAAAUUUUAAACUAGAUUAAUUACCAAUACAUUUAAUUAAUUACAAAUAAAUGCAAUUAAAAGUAUUUUUUACCUUAUGUACAAGCUGAUUACAGUAACACUCAGCUCCUUAUGUUCGAGAAGAUCGUACAUUUGCUCCUUUUCGAGGUACUCAAUAUACUCAUCUCCAAAGAUGUCUUGAUUCAUUUGUACAAUGGGCGAAUCGUUGCUGCUGCCCAUGUUCCUUUUUAUUUGGAUGUCAAGACACGCCCCGUAUUUACCAAGGCGUGGCUGACUUUUAUUAGGAGCAGCAGCAGCAGCGACCGAUUUUCCCCGAUCCAGAUUUUUUGUUGCUGCAAGUUUUGCAGCUUUAUUACCCUCCAGCCUUUGUAGUUUGGCAGCCCUAUUAACCUCCAAUUUUUGAGGUCUGCUGCCUUUUUUUGGCUGUAGGGGUGGUUUAUUUAUUUGGACCUACAAAAAUGAGGUAAAAUGUUAGUUUAUUGAAUCUGAAAAAAUAAAAAACCUUAGGCAAUAAAUGUGACAAACCUUUUCGGGAGAUGUAACUGAUUUGUCCUUGGGAAUCUUUUUUUCGAGGGCAACAAGGUGUGUGGGCCAUGCCACGUAACUGCCAAUAGCGUCGCUUAAGAACUUCAUAUCUCCAUCGUUGUCCGGUAUGGGCAACGGUGCAGUUGGUUCGAAAGCAACCGUAGGCGAUACUUUGACAUGGCCCGCGGGGAUCGGAAUAUUGUGCAAUACUUCUCCCUGUAAUAUGCCCAACCAUAAUUUCAAUUAUGGGUGGGCAUAUUACAGCGCUUUUGUGAGAAAGCGCUGUAAUAUGCCCACCCAUAUAUGAAAUUAUGGUUGGGCAUAUUAGAGCGCUUUUUUGAGAAAGCGCUGUAAAAUGCACACCCAUAACUCAUAUAAUGGGGUGCAUAUUACAGCGCUUUUUGUGAAGAAGCGCUGUAAAAUGUGCAUAACAAGCGCGCGUUGUAUUUACAUGUUUUAUAGCGUUUUUUUAAAAGCACUGUUGUAUCAUUUACAGCGCUCGUUUCCACAACGCUUAUUUUUUUGAAAAAGCGUUGUAAAUGGCUUAAAAAAAGCGCUGUAAUAUGCGUUUUUUCGCGUAGUGAAACAAAGAGGCAUCACAUAAUAGAAGAAGAAUCACAUAAUAGAAGAAGAGGCUGUCUGGAAGGAAAUGGUGGAUGAGAACUACUAUGAUCAAGAAUGUGUAAAAGAAGAGGAGAUAGUAACUAUUUUUUCCACUUUUUUCUUUUAGUUUAAUUUUAAUACGGAGAGGACUUUGUUUUAUUUUUGUGACUCUAUUAAACUAUCCGUGUUUAAUCAUGUAUUGUGAGUCACAAUAGAUAUACUCCAUAAAUCAUCUAUCUACUUUUUGUUAGGAUUUAAUCGUUGGAAUUUGGCGAGACAGUUAAAACUGACGUAAGCGUACAAGUUAUGCAUUAAAUAAUGAAUAUCAUGUUUCGGAUGAAUUCAAGUUCCAAUGGAUUCAAUUUUGACAUCCGUAACCGACUCAUAAAAACUUGAUUUCUUCUGUUUUUUAACUCGAGAUCCAAUUCAAGUUGCCUAUUUUUUCAAUAUUCGGAUCAGAUUAUUCGGAUCACGGGUUUUUGUCCAACCCUAUUUAACACCAACUAAUAGGGUAGUAGUGGUUAUAGAUUUAACUUGCAACUAAUCAUUAUAAAAACUUCAGACUCAAAGUGCAAAUAUGCUGAGUAAGGAUGUCCUACUCUCUAAAACUUUCUCACAUUUAUUCCUCUAAAGAUUUUCCACAUCUUAGAAAAGGCAAUUAUGUCCGUGUUUUUCGUCUAUUUAAAUAAUCUUAAAUAAAUUCUAGUUUUUAAAUAAAUUUAAUUCAUGAUUAAAACAAUUACACACAAAUAUGUUUUUGUGUGAUAUUGCAAUAUUCAAAUCAUUUUAAAUUUAUUUUAAUGUAUGGAUUUAAUUUAUUUAAAAAGUUAUGUCAAAAUUAAAUUUUAAUUUAAAAUAAUUUAUGUAGAUGAUAAUUUAUCAUGUCCAUUGCACAUACUCACACAAUAGUUAUAAGAAAAGAAAGAAUGGGAAUGGAGGAAAAAAAAACAGAAAAUAAAGUGGUUUUUUAGUUAUUGUUUUGAGAUAGAGAAAAUAAAAGGAAAAUGAUUAAAAUAAUUAUAUUUUUUAAUUUGAUUGGAAAAUACAUCAAAAGAAAUAUAUUAUGAUAUAACAUAAUUGUUAAUAUUACAUUUGUUAAUAUUACAUUUGUUAAUAUUAAAUUUGUUAAUUUGUAAAUUAAAGAAGAAACAGAGAAAAUAAAAUGAAUUUUUUUUUAAUUAUCAGUAAUAGAGAAAAUAGAAAAAGGUUAAAUAUUUUCUUUUUAAUUAAUAUUCCUUUUUUUAAAACACAUUAGGGAUUAGUUUUAAUAUCUUCCUACCUUGAACUUAGCACCAUUGACAGUUAUUGUUGGCAUAGAUAUAAAUGUAUAUCUUUUUGUAAGUAAUCUAAGUCAUAUGGUUUUUUUUUUACCUUAGACUGAGGUAUCAUCCUCUCACCUUAAAUUUAUUUUUAAAAAAAAUGAGAGAAAGAAGAGUAUUCUAUUAGGAAUGGAAAAUUUGGGGCAGAGUAAACUAACUUAGGUGGUGGAGUCGAAAAUACCACUUUGUCAAUACUGUCAAAUUUUUAUAUUUUAUUUUUACAUUUUACUAAAAAUAAUGACAACAACAUAGUUAGUUUAUUACGAUUGUUCUCAUGUUUAUGUCAACGACAUUAAAAGAACAUUAAUUUUAAAUUUUUUAGUAACAAAUAUUUGUCUAAUGUAAGCUUUUUAUGAUAAAAAAUAAUAAAUAUAUUUUAAUUAUUCUCUUUUUAUUUAAAAGAUAUUAAAAAAAUAUUAAAGUUAAUUAAUGCAUAAAAAAUAUUUAUAUAUGUAUAAAUUAUAUACGUCAAUUGUUUUUUAUUGACUCACUUUCAGUAAUGAAAAAUAUAUGUAACAAACUAUCAAUACAAAUUAAACUUAUAAUAAGUAAAUUUAUAUUAUGUAAUUUAAAAAAAAUUACAUAUAUAACAAACUAUCAAUAAUUAAAAUUAUCAACAAAAAAUAUAUAAGUAAAUUAUCAAUAAGUUGAUAGCUAUAUUCUAAAGCAAAGCGUUUCAUACACUAGUCUUUUUUUAGUUGGUUAAGUUAAUGGAUCAAUUUUAAUCAUUUAGUUUGAUUGAGUUAAUAAAAAAAUUGGAGAAAAAUCAUUUAAAAUUACAUUUUUUUUAUAUAAAAAAAUAAUAACUUUUUAUUUGGCUCGAUGUGCCAAAUAGCCCCGCUAUAUGACCACUCAUUUUUUUUAGCAGAUUAUAUAGAACAGACCAACUUAAAUAUGUGAGUUGAAAUUUACUUUCAUCCCGACCUACUUAAAAUAGAUCGGUCCUAAAAGUUGACCAAUUUAUCCACCCCUAUAUACUAAUAUAUGAACUGCAUUUCUUGAACUUUAAUAAUUUUACUGGAAUAAAUUAAGAAAAAAAAAGUGAUAUGUAUAUUAUAAUAAACACAAUACAUAUCAUAAUUGUUUAUGUUAUGUAACUCAAUUUGGCAUACUUGAGGAAAAAAAACUAGUCCACCCAAGUUCUUACGCUAUAAAAAUUUAAAUUUAAUUAAAAUAUUUAAUAUCUCAUGUAAUUUUUUUAUUUAAUUUCAAAUGACAAUUCAAUUAUUUUUUUUUUCUUCUUUAAUUUGACUUUUAUUUAAUUUUAAAUAGCAUGAAUAGAUGGUCAGCCCUUAGUUCUAAAAAAUAUCUAUAUUUUGCUGUCAAAUGAAUCCUUUCAUUCCCUUCCAACUGCUUUUUUAAUUGGUUUCUUAGCUCUAAAAAGUAUCUAUAUUUUUUCAUUCCCUUCCACCUACUUUUUUAAAAAAGCAAAAUGUUAAUCCAUCUAUAUCUAUAUUUAAUCUUUCCUUAUCUAUAUUUAUAUUUAAUCUUUCCUAAAAAAUAUUUUAAAAUAUUAAUCCUAAAAAGUAUCUAUAUUUUAAAAAAAAAACAUUUCUUAAAUCUUAAAAUUUUUCAUAUUUUCACAAAUCAAAUGAGACAUAAGUUUUCUAGAAGAUUUUAUUAUAAUUAUAUAAAUGUUAAUCAUUCUACGUCAUCGUAUUAUAUGACACAUGAUUUAAAAUACGUCACAUCAUAAUUUUUUAAUUUAAAAGUCAGAAUAAGACACAAACUGUUAUAUUUUAAAAUAGAGGAUCAAUUUUAUGAGCCGAUAAAAAUAAAGAGACUAAAACUGCAAUUAAGUCUAAAUUUUUUCAUAGACUAAAAUAUGUAUUCACUCUCAAUAUAAUUGUAAUUAUUUUAAUUUAAAAUAUAAAAUAGAGACUCAUUUUAUUGUUUGAGAAAAAUCUUGACAUCCAAUUUAGUAUUUGAAAAAAAUAAAGAUAAUAUUAGCCUCCGAAAAAAUCAAACCGAAACAAUUUAAUUCUACAUUUUUUAUACUUUAUUUGAUCGAAGAAAAAAAGUGAAAAGAAAAAAAAAAUGAAUUAAAAAUAAUUUAACUAUUUAAUAGUUUGAUAUAAUAAAAAAUAAUUAAAAAUAAUGAUAAAAAAUUAUGUUUCUAUAAAAUGACAGAAAUACUUUUAAGGAAAAAAAUUGAUUUGAUUAAAAAGAAAAGAUAAAUAUUAUAAAAGAAAUGAUUUAAGUUAUAUACAACAAUAAAAGUCUUUUAGUCAAUCACAUUCAUUAUAACUUUAUUCAAAAGUUAUGUUAAAAAGAAAAACUAAAUAUACAAAUCGAUCUCUAAAAUUGUAAAAAUCCAUCAAAUAAUCAAUAAAUUUUGUAAAUUAUCAAAUACAUCAUUCAUAGUCAUACUAUAGAAAAUCGAUGAAAAUAGUCUGGUAAAACCUUUAACUUAAAUAUUUUGACAUAAAAUACGUACUUUUUAGUGUAGGACAUAAUUGAAGAAAUGUUAGAUAAAGAAAAAGGAUGGAAGCAGCACGUGAGAAGACGGAAAAGGAAGAACAAAUAAACCAACAAAUCACGACGUUUGGUCUUAAAACGCUAGGAUCAAUACUCUUACUGCAGGCGUAGAAAAUUAAGCUAACCACCGCGUGUGUGUUCCUUAGCUAUAUAAAUCGAUAAUACAACAACAAUACAUUCUUUUUGCUCCUCUCUCAAUUCCCACUUUCACACAACAACCAAAAACCAGAAAUGGAUUUUCACAAGAUUAGCGUUGCUAAUCCCAUCGUCGAAAUGGACGGUAUGUUUUUAUCUAUUUUUAUAUGUUUCGGAGUUGUUGAUUACAAUUUUGAUUUUCAUUCUAGAAUUGAUUUUAACUUCAACCUUUGAUUUGUAAUUUUUGUUCAACUCAUAUGUAUCUUGUGAAAAUUAGUUGAUGUUUACUGUGCCUGGUGGUUAGUAUGUAUAUCUGAACAGAAAUCAUCAUUUCGUUGAUUUUCAAUUUCUUUCUCUGAGUAAUCAAUCUUUGAUUGUUUUCCACAUGCAGGAGAUGAAAUGACAAGAGUAAUUUGGAGAAUGAUAAAAGAUAAGGUAGUUAUGUUAUUUUUUCUUGCACUAUAUUAUUGAAUCAGACAUGCUUAUUGAUAGCAGAAAAGAGGAUUGAGAGAAGAGUGAAAUUGCUAUUUGAUUGAAUGAGUAAAUUUUUAAUUAUAUUAAGCUGGCAUUGACAAACUAGUUAUUACUAAUCUAACUAUCAACAUACUUAUCUCCAACUAACUAUAUCUCUAAUACUUUUUAUUUUAAAUUUUAUUUUUACAUUUUGCAGCUUAUUCUCCCUUUUCUGGAGCUGGAUAUUAAGUAUUUUGACCUUGGCCUUCCUCAUCGAGAUGCCACUGAUGAUAGAGUUACUAUUGAAAGUGCCGAAGCUACACUAAAGUAUGUGCUCUAGUAUUUUCCACAUUCGCUUGUGUCUUCGGUCUUUAGAUUGUGUAUCAUUUUGUCGUUGCCAUAAGUGUCUCAUUCUUCUUGUUUUUCCUUCAGUUUUUUUUUUCUUUCAUUAUUAUUGUUAUGAUCAAGAGUUGCAAUACAGUUAAAUCUUAAGAGGAAAAUCCACGUCUAUCUUGUUUAUUUCUUAAUCCAAAAUUAGCUUGCAGGAUUCAAUGCAUAGUCAGGCUUACCCUUCACAUGUUUAGAUUUCAGCUAAGAUAUUACUACGUUUAUCUUGAAAUGUUUUUUCUUUUAUUCAAAAUUGCCAUGAAAUUCUGAGAAGAGUAUACAUGUAUAGCUUUUGGGGGCAUGUUUUUCAUGUUAUAUAAAUAUACUCCUGGAACAUAAAUGUUGGAAAUGAUUGUUCUUGGGAAUGUCAUACAUACCCAAGAGUAUAUUUAUAUUAAAAUGAAACAAAUGGCAUCUUAAUGGUUUAAAUGUUGUUUUUCAUUCUGCUGUGCAUCUGUUUUCUAGAAGAGGAUAAGCAAACUAGAAUUGUAAUGCCCUCUGAUUAUAGUUAGUGACAAAAUAAUACAAUUUAAAUGGAGUUGAGGAGUAAAUAUUAAAUAAUAAGUAUGCUCUAUACUGUACAUACAUUGCUGUAGAGUACUGUUAGAAGAUCAAUAUUAGAAAGAAAAAAAGAAUGCAAAAUAAGAUAUAUUUAUAUAUUUGGUUUUGGUUGAAAUAUCAACUACUUAAAUAGACUGAAUUUAUUUUUGUUAUGGCUGUUAUAAUUUUUCAAGUUCUGUUGAGCUGCAAAGGUUUUGGUCCAUGUCUCCCCUUGUCUUUCAUUUGAAUUCUUUCUUCCUUUCUUUUUUAACAAUAAUCUUUGGUAUGCUGCAAAUGAUUAGUGCUAGCUGAGGUGCUAGCCUAGUUGAGAUUUCAAUUAUCAUAUUUAUGCCUCUGCUUACCAUUCUCAGGGAUAAAUAAAAGUUCUGUGGAUUAAAGAAGCUUUCAAUGUUUUUCAUUUCUGUAUUAAUUAUUAAGCUAUAUUUUCUUACGCGAGGCCUCCUAAUAUCACUACGUGGUUUAUUUUCCUUUCAUUGUAGGUAUAAUGUAGCUAUCAAAUGUGCAACUAUUACUCCAGGUAUUCAUAAUUGUUCUAAUCUGGAAAUUGGAAUGAUUUCCAUGUCAUCUUAACUUAAUUUCGAGUACGGUGUACCAUUUUGCCCAUGUGUUAAUUGAAAUUCACAUAUGGGGUUUUCUUUUUCAUAGAUGAAGGCCGUGUCAAGGAAUUUAACCUAAAACAAAUGUGGAAGAGCCCAAAUGGAACAAUCCGGAAUAUUUUAAAUGGUAAAUUAAUCUUCUGAUGCUUUUCGCAAUCCUGUUUUAUGUUCUGAGUUUUCAACUGACAUCGAUGGAAACAAUCACUCUAUAUCCUUACAGGUACAGUUUUUAGAGAGCCAAUUAUCUGUAGAAACAUUCCUCGACUUGUUUCAGGUUCGUAAUUUUUUUAACUUAUUUGAUAUCUUAAUUUUGCUUUAUGAUAGCAAGUGUUAAUUACUGGCUAUUGGUUAGGUUGGACGAAGCCAAUCUGCAUCGGAAGACAUGCUUUUGGCGACCAAUAUCGGGCAACUGACGCAGUUAUAAAAGGCCCAGGAAAGCUAAAAUUGGUGUUCGGUAAAGUCAAAAUCCAAUCAGCUGUUUCUCAUGAUUCAAGUACUUGGCAUAUACAAUCUUGAUGCAGUUGCAAGAUUGCUCAACUAAAGCCGAUAUCAAUUUCUAAAAGACUAAAAAGUUUGAGGUCUAUAAAUUUGAAGUAUCUUACAAAAUUUAGUUGCGUUAUACAGCACCAGAUGGGCAUGAAGAAACUAAAGAGCUAGAGGUGUAUAACUUCACUGGUGCUGGAGGUGUAGCUUUGUCCAUGUAUAAUACUGACGAGGUUUGCAUCUAAUCAAUCCUUUUUAUUAAUAUUUUCUCUUUGAAAAUUAUUUUAACUGAACUUGCAAUAAUAAAUUAUGUGAUAUUUGGUCUUGAAACAGUCCAUUCGAGCUUUUGCUGAAGCUUCGAUGAACAUUGCUCACGAGAAAAGAUGGCCUCUCUAUCUUAGCACUAAAAAUACCAUUCUAAAGAAAUAUGAUGGAAGGUAUGCUUGUCUAUUUUCUGUUCAUUCUUCUUUAUAUUUCACGACUCUUCAAUUCUAAAUGAGAUACAAUGAUAUAUUGUAGUUAUAAGACCCAAGCACAUUUCUAACUCUUUGCUUUUGUGAAGAUUCAAGGAUAUAUUCCAGGAAGUUUAUGACACGCAGUGGAGUCACAAGUUUAAAGCUGCAGGAAUAUGGUUAGAAGAAUUGCUUGUCAUGCUAGUAAAUUUUUUUUUUCAUAAGUAGAUUGGUAAUUCACACUCUUGAUUCUUAGGUAUGAACACCGUCUUAUAGAUGAUAUGGUUGCGUAUGCUCUUAAAAGUGAUGGAGGUUACGUAUGGGCCUGCAAGAAUUAUGAUGGGGAUGUGCAGAGUGAUUUCAUAGCUCAAGGUAGAUAUCUGUAUGCUCUUAUCUCAUUCACUUAUCUGUUUAGUUCUGGUGUUUCUUGUUUUCAUUCCACUGGUAAAAUAAAUAAUAAAGAAGACACUAUGGAUGUUUUUGGAAAUGCAUAUUAAAUAUUUUAAAAAUUCUGGAAAUUUUCAAUAUAUUAUUUUUAGUGUUCUUGAAAAUAAAAAAAUCCAUAAGCAAAUGUCAUUCCAACCACCACAUACAAAGUGGAAUUGAAAAUGUUGUUAGAAUAGGGCCAAGGGUUAGCGUGUCAUAUUUCUUAAUAUGAUCUGAAAAAUAGUUUCCAUUGAACAGGGUUUGGUUCUCUUGGCUUGAUGACAUCAAUACUGGUAUUGCUUUUCUAACCCUUUGCAUCAUUUUGCUUUUUCUUUCAUACGUAUCCUUUAUUUUGUUUAUGUCUGUCCUUUUGUCGGUUACAUCUCUAGCAUGGAUGUUCAAGUAGCUAAAAUUUGCAACAGGUUUGCCCGGAUGGGAAAACCAUUGAAGCAGAGGCAGCCCAUGGCACUGUUACCCGUCAUUUUCGGGUCCAUCAGAAGGGAGGUGAAACCAGUACAAACAGUAUUGCUUCAAUUUUCGCCUGGUCACAAGGUCUUGCACAUAGGUAAGUGAAGAAAGUAAAAGACAAAAUACUUUCAUGUUUUAUUAUUACAGCCCUAAGCUGUUUAUAUAGGAAAAGAAAUUACAAUAGUAAAACUGAGUAAUAAUGACAGAAUAAAAAUAAACAUAAUAAUAUAAAAUAAAAGAGAAUAAAAUCUAAUUUAUCUCGAUUCUUCAACACCCCCCUCAAGUUGGUGCAUAGAUAUCUGUCAUGCCCAACUUGGCUAUAAGUCGCUCAAAAUUGGGUCUUGCCAAACUUUUUGUCAAGAUAUCAACGGUUUGCUGAUUGGAAGUCACAAAUGGCAGACAUAUAACUCCAGCAUCAAUUUUUUCUUUUAUGAAAUGGCGGUCAAUCUCAUUAUGCUUGGUUCUAUCAUGUUGUACAGGGUUGUGAGCUAUACUUAUUGCUGCUUUGCUAUCACAGAACAAUUUUAAGGGUGAGUCAACUUUCAUUUUCAGUUCGUCUAAGAGUUUACGAAUCCAUAAAAGUUCACAGAUUCCUUGAGCCAUUGCUCUGAAUUCAGCUUCUGCACUGCUUCGAGCAACAACCCCUUGUUUCUUACUUCUCCAAGUAACUAAAUUUCUCCCAACAUAGGCACAAUAUCCAGUGGUGGAUUUUCUAUCAGUAAUUGAUCCUGCCCAAUCAGCAUCUGUAAAUAUAGAGACUUCUCUGUCAUUAGUUUUCUUGAAGCACAAACCCUUUCCAGGAUUGGAUUUCAAGUACCUUAAGAUUCGAUAAACUGCCUCCAAGUGUUCUUCAUAGGGAGAAUGCAUGAAUUGACUUACAACACUCACAGAGAAAGCGAUGUCAGGUCUAGUGUGGGCUAGAUAAAUAAGUUUGCCGACUAACCUCUGGUAUCUUCCAAUCUCAACAGGAACACUGCCUUUCUCCCAAAGUUUAGCAUUUAAUUCCAUAGGAGUAUCUGCUGGUCUACACCCAUUCAUCCCAGUUUCUUCCAAGAGAUCUAGGAUGUAUUUUCUUUGAGAAACAACAAUUCCCUUCUUUGAGCGAGCAACUUCCAUACCAAGAAAAUAUUUAAGCGCGCCUAAAUCUUUGAUCUCAAGAAGAUGCCUAUUCUUUCUCUCUGCAAUUCCAUUUCGUUGGGGUGUAUUAACACAAGAACUUUGAUGAACAACCCCAUUUGCAAGAAAAAAAUCGGACAAAAGUAUAUUAAAAUAUUCUUUACCAUUGUCACUUCUGAAGACUUGAAUAUUUGUUUGGUAUUGAGUGCGCACCAUUUUAAAGAAAUUUUUGACAACUUGUCCAACUUCCGAUUUUUCUUUCAAUAAAUAAACCCAACAAAUUCUAGUAUGAUCAUCAAUAAAAGUUAUAAACCAUUUUUUAUUAGAAAAUGUGUUUAUUCUAUUAGGACCCCAAACAUCACUAUGAAUAACUGCAAACGGUUUUGAUUGUUUAUAUGGUUGUGUAGAAAAAGAAGAACGGUGAUGUUUAGCAAAUUCACAAGUUUCACAAUGAAAUAAAGAUGGAUCCUUCUUAGAAAAUAAUUUAGGAAACAAAUGUUUCAAAUACGGAAAACUAGGAUGUCCUAACCGUAAAUGCCAUAACAUAAUAUCAUUAUUAUUAGAAGAAACAAAAAUAGAUUCAAAGCAGGUACUUGUUUUUUGUUGGUCUUUGAAGUCGAGUCCAUUGUCAAGAUAAUAGAGUCCUCCAUUCUCCGUAGCAUUGCCAAUCAUCUUCCCCGUGCUCAAAUCCUUAAAAGUGCAAUGAGAAUGAAGGAAGUUAGCUUGACAAUUUAUAUCCUUUGUUAAUUUAGUAAUGGAUAAUAGAUUACAUGAUAAAUUAGGAACAUGUAAGACAUCUUUUAAGGUUAACUUAGGUGACAGAAUAACAGAACCUUUCUCUGCAAUGGCUGAAAGAGAGCCAUCUGCAAUUUUAAUUGUGGUUACCUGCACAAGGGCUAUAAGUAGAAAAUAGACUCGACUCCCCAGUCAUAUGAUCAGUAGCACCAGAAUCAAUAAUCCAAGUAUGGCUGGGAGUGACACUAAGUAGAGCAGUAUUUGGAAAAUUACCUCUCUGAGCUAUAGAGCAAGAAGAAGUUUGAGACUCAAAAAGUUUGUACAAUUGAUCUAACUGUUCCUUGGUGAAAGGAGAUGGGCUUGAAGGAGACUGCUUCUCUUGAUCAGAUGUACCAGCUUGGAGCGCAUGACCUUCCUUUCUUUCUUUUUUCUUCCAAUUUAGAGGUUUUCCAUGGAGCUUCCAACAUGUAUCACGUGUGUGCCAUAGACGUUUGCAAGGUUCGCACCAUGGUUUCUUGCCAGCGCUCUUCCCGUCUUCAUUUUUUUGUGACUAGGGCAAAGCUUUCAACCUCACCAACAGAAGGCGACUUACCCAUCAUAACACCUUGUCUUGCCUCUUCUCUUCUAACUUCUGAGAAUGCUUCCCGAAGUGAUGGCAAUGGGAUCUUUCCCAAUAUUCUGCCUCGAACUUCAUCAAGCCGCUUAUUAAGCCCAACCAAGAACAUGAAUACACGGUCCUCACAACACAUUCAAUGAUCAUCAUAGCAGAGAUCCAAUUCUUGCCAUAGUGUCAUCAACUCAUUGUAAUAGGUAGUGACAUCUCUAUCUCCUUGUCUGGUAUGCUACAAUCGUGAUUUGAGAUCGAAAAUUUGAGAAGAAUUCUGAAUAUCAGAAUAUGUUUCUUUGACAGCCUCCCAAACUUCCUUGGCAGUAGGCAAAAACAUAAAAGGUUUUUUUGAUUGUUGAUUCCAUAUUACUAAGCAACCAAGCAAUAAUAACAGAGUUCUCAGAUUUCCAAAACCUGUAUUUUGGAUCAGUUGUGGCAGACAUUUGCACCUCUCCUGUUAGGAAACCAUAUAUUCCCUUACCGUCUAAAAUCAAUCUUGCGGUUUGGGACCAUUCGACAUAAUUUUUUCCAUUUAGUUUCUGGAUUUCAACCUUGAGGACAUUAGAAGUUCCCUCAUGGCCAAAAAAGUUGGAAGAACCAUUCUGGCUGCUUAGGCCGCUGCGACUGCCACUUAUGGUGCUGUCUAAAUUGUCAGGGUUGUUGACUAUGUCUGAUUUUUUUGCCAAACCAUCGUCGUUGUCGCCGCUACCCAUAAGGGCUACCUUCCAUGGGGUAUUGUGUGCCAUUAGCUUUAGUUCAGUUGGUUAGAGCGCCAAACCCUAAUGGUUGUGGUAGCUCAGUUGGUUAGAGCGCCAAACCCUAAUGGUUGUGGAAAGGUUUACAGAACCCUAACCAGAGCUCUGAUACCAUGAAGAAAGUAAAAGACAAAAUGCUUUCAUGUUUUAUUAUUACAUCCCUAAGCUGUUUAUAUAGGAAAAGAAAUUACAAUAGUAAAACUGAGUAAUAAUGACAGAAUAAAAAUAAACAUAAUAAUAUAAAAUAAAAGAGAAUAAAAUCUAAUUUAUCUCGAUUCUUCAACAGUAAGCAUUGAAAUUAAAACUCAUACAAAUUUUUUUCCUCAUACUGCAAUCCAUAGAAUUCGAUUUUUUUUUUCCAUUGUAGUUUUAGCUAAUAAUAAUACAUAUGGUCGGUUGAGUAGUUUAAGUGGCUGAUUAUUUGUGUUUUUUUUUUUAAGAAAGAAGUGUAUUUUUUAUUAAGUUUUUUUUUUACUAUUUUAGAUAAAUAUUUUUGAUGAAAAGAAAAAAGCUUAUAAGAUAUUUUGUUGUUCUUCACUUCCCAAAAUAUAAUGGAAGUAGCUUCAUGAAAAUAGCUAUAAAUGAAGGACCCAUUUGUUUGGGCUUUUAAGAAAAAAAUUAACAGAAAGGUCUAAUUUUAUAUCAGAAUUAGAAAGUUUUUUUGAAAAAAGCAAAUGCGUAAAAGAUUUUCCUCAUAAGUUAUAGUUUGUUUUGUGUGUAUAAACUUUGCAAAAAAGUUCCGAUAUCAUUUUCUUUAAAACUUUCCUAUAAUAAGGCAUUUCUUAUAGGAUAGAUAUGCUUGGUUUGAGAAUUUUUUGCUAAUAAAAAGCGUCACUUUUAUAUUAUAUUUUGUUUUUGGUAAUAAAAAGUGUUACUAUACUUCUUGGAGAGACAAGAGUGGAAAUAAAUAGGAGGUUAGAGACUUGAUAACAAGCUUUAGAAGUUUAUGAUUUUCAUUUGAGUAUAAGUAACAGAGUUAUAUAUAGAAUGUAAAUUUUGGAAAAGACAAAGCACACAUAGUUUAGAGGUGAUAGUUGGAAACCCUAACAUACAACAAGUCACAAUUAAAUAUCUUUGGCCCAAGUAGGGUGGAUGAAAUUGAGGAGAGUCUUAGGUGUUUUAAGUGAUAAAAUAGUGCCACUGAAGAUAAAGGGAAAGUUUUAUCCCACAUUUGUAAAACCAACGACGUUACAUGAUACAAAAUGUUGGGGUGGUAAAAUGCCAACAUGAGAGUAAACUCGGUGUAUAGAGAUGAGAAUGCUAUGAUUGAUGUAUGCUAAUACUAGAUGAGAUAAGAUUAGGAGUGAUAGCAUCGGAGAGAAAGAAAGUUAGGGUGACACAUUGUAGAAAAAAUGAAGGAAUAUUGACUUAGGUGGUUUGAGAAUGUGUAAAGGAGACUGUAGAUUCUGUAGUAAGAAGAGUAGAUCAAACAGAGGGUAGCCCAAUUGUUCAAAGUAGAGGAAGACUAGGAAAAACUAUACGAGAAACUGUUGAGAAAGACCUAGAAGUCAAAGAUUUUGAUGAAGAUAUGAUAUAGCAUUAUAUCGUCCUUUGAUCCAUGUAGUCAACUCUACUUAGUGGGAUAAGAUCAAGUUUGGUGGUGGUGGUUCUAUAUUUAUGCAUAAAACAAACUAAAAGCAGAGUUGUACUUUUUGUAAAUAUUAAUGAAAACAAAGAUGUAGACAAUAUGAUAAAAAUAAAAGUGUGUUUUAUUUUAAAGCUUUUUAAAACACCCUAUUUUUUGCAGGGCAAAGUUGGAUGGAAAUGCUAGACUGUUGGACUUCACGGAGAAACUAGAAGCAUCUUGCAUUGGAACAGUAGAAUUGGGAAAAAUGACAAAGGAUCUUGCACUUCUUAUUCACGGACCCAAGUAACUUUUGGCCCUAGGAUAGUUCUUUAAGAAUGCUAACUAUUCCUUUUGCUAUUUAUGUAUAACAAAUUAAAACUACUUGCUCUUUUGUUUUGUUGUAGGGUUUCUAGGUCUCAUUAUUUAAAUACUGAAGAGUUCAUUGAUGCUGUUGCCGAGGAGCUGAGAACAAGAUUAACUACAAAAGCAAAGCUGUAAAGUUCACCAGUUUCUUUGAGUCUACUUAAUGAUAUUAGAUUGGACUAUUACUUGGGUUAUAAGCAUUUAUUGUGCUGAGUUUUGAAUUUGGAGUAUGUUCGUUUGAAUAAAAAAUGGAAGUUGAGUGGAGAGAAUUUAGGCAGAAUAAAGCCAACUAGUCAAGGGACUUCCUAGGGGCCCAACUCUACCCAACUCUGCAUUUCUAAAUACCAGACGACUCCAAAAAUAUACUUUUGGAUGAAAAAAUAACUAACUGUUUUUGUCCCGUUGUAUACUCUUGGAUGACAUAAAAACUAAAUUUUUUUGAAUGUGUUUUUCUGAAGUGACUUUAGGGGGUGGGGAAAGUUGGGGCCCUUCCUAAAUUGGACUGUUGCACCCGCUACAGAUAGGAAAGAUUGGUAUUCACAAAAAGUUCAUUGGCUUGGUAGAACAUCAACUGAUUUUGAAUUUUCCAAGCCAUAAAAGGGACUAUUAGUGUAACAUCCUCCUCAAGUUGAGAAGCUACAUAUUCUCUAUCUUAUAUUCUCUUGUCAUAGAUAUUGUCAUAUUGAAAUAUUUUUGGUGAAAAUGAUUACAGAAGCAAAGCAUAAUAUGAAUUUUUGUCCUUUUCUGUAGAAUAUGAAAAUUGGUAGUAGAAUAUGAAAAUUGGUAUAUUUCCGAAGUUGUAUUAGUAGAGAUCUAGAGGAAGAACAUAAACAAGGAAUAAAAUAGGGGGAAAAUUUAGGGUAUCAUUCUUACCUUUUCAUCUUGUGCUUUCAUAGAGGGUUUGAGUCUAGGAUUUUUUAUUAAGGGUAUUACGAAAUUUUAAGGAAUUUUUCUCAUUGAAUAGUUUUAUUGAUGUGUUUUCUUAAGCUGAAGGCGGAACCUUGUGUGUUUAUACCUGUUAGUGACAUGCAUGUUCUUGUUGUGGAAUAAUGUUUAUACCUGUUAGUUACAUGCAUGUUCUUCUUGUGGUUAAGGAAAGUGUGCUCUUGAAUGUGAAUAUUUUGGAUUAGUGGCAAUUCUCGUCUUAUGAUGGGAAAUCGAGUAAUUUUUGGAGUACAUUUUAUACCUAUAAUCAAUUUCAUAAAUAUUGAAUAGUUGGAGUGAAUUAAAGAAUUAAUAAAGAAAAAGUAUUAAAUUCUUCCACAACAUGAUAGGAUAAAAAAGUCAUUAUUCUUGUCUCAGAUAAAAUUAUAAUGCUGAAACAAUAAUAGGUAAUGAUAAUAUUUUUUGCAUGGUCAAAUUCAAAAAAUAUUAUUAUUUGACAUUUGAAACGUGAUUCGUGUGGAUGAUAGGAUGGGUUAAUCUAGGUCUAGGAAGUCUCUUUGGAGAUGAACUUUUCCUUCACAAAAUAUAUAUAUGAAAUUCCAAAAGCUUCUUUCAAACAUGGAGCAUUGGAUUUUGAGACCGAAUGGCAGUACUCAGAUUGUCUCGUAGGAGAGUAGUGACACUCUAAGAGACUACUAGUUUUGUGAGCAAGGACUGUAUCCGUAUUACUCCAGCUUUGGUACUGGUCAUGCUGCAAUACUCCAGCCUUUGUGCUGGAACGAGCAACCAACGAUUAAUUCUUGGUGCACCAUUAAAUCAAAUUAGGCCAAGGAAGAUGCACAAGUCUGAAGUUGAUCUCUUGUCAUCAGGGUUUGACGGUUUGUGUCACAAUAGGCACUUGUGGAGAAUGGAGAGUUAGGUUGUCCUAGUUGAAAGAAUAAUCCAUGCUUAAUUGAUCCUUUAUGGUAGAUAAAGCCACAUUGGAUUUGAUGAGAUAUGACAUAAGAUGGAUAUGAGUCAAUUUAAGAUAUAUUGGACUACUUGAUAUAAUCCACCCGAGUUACGUUUCAGAUGUCAAGUGAUGAACAUGACAGAAGUGAGUUGAGAGUGCCAAAUUACAUGAAAUAUGUCAACAUAAGCAAGUGUUUAUAUUCGAAAGACACCACUCACCUUGCAAUUAGAUUUAGUGGAAUUGAGUUUCAUCCAACCAAAAUUUUAAAACCUAUUUUUUCACAACUUCUUCUCUUAGGAGCUAUCACGAGUCUGCACUUUGUUCCAAGCCUCUAAAAUUCUGGUAACAUUAUUUUUCUACUUUCUAGUAUAACAAAGUCAAACAUGGUGUUAUUGAUAAUAUGGUUGGGGUGUCAUGGCUAUUCUAUGUGAAAUUCAAUAUAGUCCCUUCAAGAAUCCACAACUAGGUUCUUAGAUUUGAAAAAUCAAAACACAUCACAUUAAUUUCUUUGUCAGAGACUAUUUUUAGUGUUUAAAAUUUUGUUACAGACUAAUAUCUCCUGAGUGGGUAAUUUUGAGAUACUAUUUUUGAAUUUUUUUAUAAGGAUUAAAUUAACAUUUAAUAUUUUUUUCUUAAGAACUAAAAUGAGUAUUCUGUCUUUUUGAAAGUCAAAUUUAAAAAUUAAUUUAUAAUUAAUUUUGUCUCUUUUUUGUACUACCUCUUUUUGUUAAUGUCCUACCGAGAACCAAAUCUAAUUCCGGUAAAAUUAGAGACUAAAAUUGGCUGGCAAAAUAACCGGAAAUAAUAUGAAAAAACCGGUGAAUAAAUGCUAAAACUGGUUGGAAAACUGCGAAAGUGUGAUUUUUGUUGUCAACUUUUCUAUUUUAAUACUAUAUUGCUAUUCAGUUUUUAUUUUUUAUUUUUUAUUUUAUUUUCGUUUGGGUGAGUAACAAUCAUGUCAAUUUUGAUUAAUUUGUUUAAAGACUAUAGUUCUACUUUUUCCAUAUCAACUUUUUAUUUUUCAAUUUUUUUUUAUCAUUGCAUCAAUGGAUUUAAACCAUAACUAGAUUAUGGUCCGCGCGCUGCACGGAUAUUAAUUAAUUAAUUUUAUAAAUAAUAUUUGAUGUAUUAUAAAUAUAGUUAUCUUAUAAUAUUACUUUAUUGAUUUGUAAUAAUUGAAUAUGAUUAAGAAAAUUAAAAUGAGGGAAAAUCAUGUUUAUCACACUCAUCUAAUUUAAUUUUUAAAAUAUUUUGUAAAAUUCGUAUGAUAACUUAUUAUAUAGAAUAAUUAUUUGACUCAUUGUACUUUGAUUGUUAAUUUAUUUUUCAACAUAUAAUGGUAUUUGUAUUUAUUUGACGAAAUAAAAUAUAGAAUACAAACCCAAAAAUAAGAUGUAAAAAUUUAUAAAUAUGAUUUACUAUUUAAUAUUUUUUAUUUUAAAAAAAAUGUUAAUGUUGAAUUAUAUUGUAGCGUAGUCUAAAUUUAUUUGUUUUAUUAUUAUAUUAUUUUAGUUGCGAGCAUGAGAAGUUGUUGUAAAAAAAAAUUAUUGAAUAUAUUUCAUCAANNNNNNNNNNNNNNNNNNNNNNNNNNNNNNNNNNNNNNNNNNNNNNNNNNNNNNNNNNNNNNNNNNNNNNNNNNNNNNNNNNNNNNNNNNNUUUUUAAUAAAUUUAUGUAUUUUCUGUCAAAAAGAAUAUAUAUUUUUAUUUUAUAAAGUGUUACUAAAAAAUGGAUUGACAUUAAUGAGUAAUUUAAUUUUUAACGUAUAAAAUCAUUACUCACCAUAAGUGAAAUAAUAUAAUUGUUCAUAAAGGAAGAUUAAAUAAAGAACAUUUAUAUCGAUAUUUAUGAGUGAUUAGGUGGUUUUUUAUUUAUUUAAUUUAAUGACUAAUAAUAUAAAUUAUUACCAUUGGUAAAUGACUAAUAAUACUAUAAAAUAAUAUUAUAAAAUAGUUUAUAAAUUUAUUAUAAAAUAACUUAUAAAAUAAUUUGAUAAUAAUAUAAAUUAUAAAUUAAAUUAUUAUCAAAUUGUCAAAUAAUUUAUAAAUUAUAAAUUUAUUAUAAAUAAUUGUAAAAUAAUUUUAUAAGUAAUAUUUUAUGUAUUAUAAAUAUAGUUAACUUAUAAUAUUACUUUAUUAAUUUGUAAUAAUUGAAUAUGAUUAGAAAAAUUAAAAUGAGGGAAAAUCAUGUUUAUCACAUUCAUCUAAUUUAAUUUUUAAAAUAUUUUGUAAAAUUCGUAUGAUAACGUAUUAUAUAGGAUAGUUGUUUGACUCAUUGUACUUUGAUUAACAAUUUGUUUUUCUAACAUAUAAUGGUACUUGUAUUUAUUUGAUGAAAUAAAAUGUAAAAUACAUACCAAAAAAUAAGAUAUAAAAAUUUAAAAAUAUGAUUGACUAUUUAAUAUUUUUUAUUUUAAAAAAAUGUUAAUGUACUAAUAAUAUAAAUUAUUACCAUUGGUAAAUGACUAAUAAUAUUAUAAAAUAAUUUAUAAAUUUAUUAUAAAAUAACUUAUAAAAUAAUUUGAUAAUAAUAUAAAUUAUAAAUUAUUAUCAAAUUGUAAAAUAAUUUAUAAAUUAUAAAUUUAUUAUAAAUAAUUUUAAAAUAAUUUUAUAAUUUAUAAAUUUAUUAUAAAUUAUUACCAUUGGUAAAUGACUAAUAAUAUUAUAAAAUAAUUUAUAAAUUUAUUAUAAAAUAACUUAUAAAAUAAUUUGAUAAUAAUAUAAAUUAUAAAUUAUUAUCAAAUUGUAAAAUAAUUUAUAAAUUAUAAAUUUAUUAUAAAUAAUUGUAAAAUAAUUUUAUAAUUUAUAAAUUUAUUAUAAAUUAUUACCAUUGGUAAAUGACUAAUAAUAUUAUAAAAUAAUUUAUAAAUUUAUUAUAAAAUAACUUAUAAAAUAAUUUGAUAAUAAUAUAAAUUAUAAAUUAUUAUCAAAUUGUAAAGUAAUUUAUAAAUUAUAAAUUUAUUAUAAAUAAUUGUAAAAUAAUUUUAUAAUUUAUAAAUUUAUUAUAAAUUAUUACCAUUGGUAAAUGACUAAUAAUAUUAUAAAAUAAUUUAUAAAUUUAUUAUAAAAUAACUUAUAAAAUAAUUUGAUAAUAAUAUAAAUUAUAAAUUAUUAUCAAAUUGUAAAGUAAUUUAUAAAUUAUAAAUUUAUUAUAAAUAAUUGUAAAAUAAUUUUAUAAUUUAUAAAUUUAUUAUAAAUUAUUACCAUUGGUAAAUGACUAAUAAUAUUAUAAAAUAAUUUAUAAAUUUAUUAUAAAAUAACAUAUAAAAUAAUUUGAUAAUAAUAUAAAUUAUAAAUUAUUAUCAAAUUGUAAAAUAAUUUAUAAAUUAUAAAUUUAUUAUAAAUAAUUGUAAAAUAAUUUUAUAAUUUAUAAAUUUAUGAAAUAAUAUUAUUAUUGAGAGGAGGAUUGAAGGAGAUUAGACAUUGAGAACAUGAUUGAGAGGGGAGAAAGGAGAAGAGGUCCACAUCAGCUAAAAGCUGAUGUGAGAAAUAUUUGUAUAGGUGGAUGAAAUAAAAUGAAGUGGGUGAGGUGACAUUCGGGGUCUGUUUUAAAUAUAUAUAAUAGAUAAGUAUAUCUAUAACAUUUAACAAAAAAGAGAGACAAAAUCAAACAUUAAAUAUUGCAACAAGAAAAUAUUAAUAUUUCACUCAUAAAGAUGUAUUAUAUUUAAAUAAAAAUGUAUAUUUACACUAUUUAAAAAUAUUAAAAUUACAUAUUUGAGUAUAAAAUUUAUGUUAAAUACUACCGGUCGCACCAUGGUUCAACUCCGGUCGAAUUUUUAAACCUUGAAUCUCUUCAUAUAUUAGUCAAUGUCCGAAUCAAUUUUGAUUACCUUGGUCCUAUUUGAGUACUAUGCCCAUUUGACAUGUUGCAGUGUGGUCUUUAUGGUUUGAUAAGGAAUGAGAUUGUUUUCAAGAAUAGAAAGUUAAUAUUGAGUACUAUGCCCAUUACCAAUAUUGUUUAUUAAAUAUUAGGGAAGAAAAAAUUAUUAUUAAUAAUGGUAAUAUUAAUGAUCAAUCUUACAACUGUCUCAUAUGAGAUUUGAAUUUUGACAUUUGAAAUUACAAUUACUAUGGGAAACUCUUACACUGAGGUGACACCUAAAGGACAAAUGAGAUUGUUGUACUGAUUUUCUUCAUAUGCCACAUGAUCUUCAUUAACUUUUUCAUCCUUGUGUAAUAGCUCAUUUCUCUGUAUUUCUGUUGGUUGAUUAAAAUUUGAAUUUUUUCUUGUGAAAGAGUAAAGAGUAUUGCUUAUACUCAUAAAAUAACAUUCAUUUUGUGUGUCAAAAGUAUAUAACAAAUAUUCAGAAAAAAAAAAAGAUACUGCUUAGAACAAUAUUAAAGACACUGAAAACAUACUUUAGAAGGAAAAUAAUUUUUUGAAUGAAUUUACAUGUAUGUGUUAACAAUGAUCAUUAGUUCUCUGAUAUGCCUUCAAGGAGGAAGUGACACUUUUGUACAAUAAAUUUUGCUAAAACAAGUAUAUGCAUUUUUCUGCUAAAAAUACUCAAAAUCUACAUAAGAAUCAGUAGCAUUUUUGCUUUUUGUAUCACUAGCAGCAACAUCUGCUAUCUUCUUAUCAACUGGUGGUGGUGCUGUCUCUUUUUUAGCAUACUUUGAAAAGUCUAUGACAUCUGGUAUAUGUGGUGGUGAUGCACUUCUAACUAGAGCCCAAUUCACUCCUUCAAAAAAUGGAUGUUGUUUUAUUUCGGUUGCACCUCUUUUAUAAGCAAUUCUCUUCUGAGGUUCUUUCACAAGCAAUCCUCUAAUAAGAUCGCGCGCCACGGUACUAAUUUGAGGACUAUCUGGAAACCUCAGUGGCUGUCCAACAACAUUGAAAAGUGUUGCUUUGUAUCCUGCACCUUUAAAAGGUGUUGCUCCAUGUAACAAUUCAUACAAGAAGAUUCCAAAAGUCCACCAAUCUACUGCACUACCAUGUCCUUCUCCUUUGACUAUUUCAGGAGCUAGAUACUCAUGUGUUCCUACAAAUGACAUUGAUCUCACAUUUGUUGGUUCUGCCAUUAGUUCUGGAAGGCGGUUUCCGUUAACCAAUAGGCCAAAGUCUGAUUUUGCCUUUCGAUUCUUCUUCGAAGGCAAAAUGCGAGGGAAAAAGCUUGAUGAUGUCUGAGCAGUUCCAACUGCUUGGUCAUCAUUAAACACACCUCCAGAAUCACUACCGUUUCCGCUGUUUCCUACAUUUGUAGAGGAUGACUUGACAAGUGUAGGACUGACGGAGCAGCGAAGCGAUAAAUCGAAAUCCGAGAGCAUGAUAUGUCCUUCGUCCCUAACUAAAAGAUUCUCUGGCUUUAAGUCUCUGUAUACAAUGCCAAGCAUGUGCAGGUACUCAAGAGCUAACAAAACCUCUGAAGCAUAGAACCUAUCACAACAGAUUUGAAUGUAAGAUUCUUGAUCUACAAACUGUGUUCAUAAAGGUUAAAUCAAAUGGCUAACAGAAGUCAUGCCAGUGGUGAAAGUUAAAAACAAAACAAAACAAAACAAAUCAUUUGUAAAUGGAAAAAGUUCGAAUGUAUUCGAAUCAAUCAACUUAGUCUUUGAAAUUGUCAAGUAAGACAAUUUAGUUCUUGAAAUUGAUAUAACUCUAAAUUGAUCCAUGAAAAUGAAAUAUUCAAUCAUAUUAGUUUACUUGAGAUCACAUUUUUUGGAUAAACCAAGGUAUUAUCUACAUGGAACUACAUAGACUAAUCCCUCAAGGUAGCUAAAUCUAUUUAAGAGAUUGACUUCUCCCAACAUGUGUUUUUCUAUAUGCAUCGGUUAUGUAUCGAACACCAAGCCAUCUAGUUAAGGGACUCAAAAGAACUAAAUUGACCGACUCAAAAACUAAUGCAAUUGAGGAUAUUCAAUUUUAUAGAUAAUUUUGCAAAUUCGUUAAUAUUUUGGACCAGGUUGCGUAAAGCCUAAUUUUAAGUACUAAAUUGACUAUUCACUUAUAUGAAGUUAAUCACAGGUUGUUAAAAUCAAUUCAGUCAUGCAAUAUGAGGACAAACUUAAUAGAUCAUCAUCAACUUAUAUGAAGUUACAGUGACUUCUAAAUGUCUUGUGAAGUAUAUGCAGAAAAAUGGAAGAACAGAAGAGAAAAUGCAACAAACAGAUUCAACUAACCUUGCAGCUUCUUCAGUGAAACACUUAUUCGGCUGUUUCUGUCGAAGCGAAUGAAGAUCGCCACCACUACAGUACUCCAUUACAAGACAGUAAAACUUAUCAGUUUCAAAGUAAGAAUACAAAGUAGGCAAAAAAGGGUGAUCAAGAAGUCCAAGAAUCUCCCUUUCUGUCUGUGAUCUAAGAAGCUUGUUUCUACUUAUAAGAGCAGCCUUAUCCAUUACUUUCAUAGCAAAAUGAGCAUCAGUUCCUUUAAGUUCCACAAGGUACACACUUCCAAUGUCUCCGUAACCGAUACGCUUAAGAAGCCUAAAAUGGCUUAGAUUAAGAGGACCAGCUUUGGAAACCAUGUUAAUUGCAUCCCACCUUACAUCACCACCAGUAUGUGGCCUAAUGUGUGAACAACUUGUGCUCUCUAAACUGUCGCUGCGUGAGCUUGUUCCGCUUCCUGUGCCGUGAUUGUUCGCCUUUGUAUGAGUAGGCAUACCCUUUGAAACUCCUGUUGGUAAUCCUGGUGAUGGAGUUGCAGGUUCAGAAUUUGAAGGCAUCCUUGUUCUUGGACUUUGUCUUGAAGUAUUGUAAUCAGAAAUGUUUUUGUUUGGUGGAUUUAGUUUCUGUGGUUUAUUUUUUUUUGCAAAUUUUUCUUCACUUGCUGAAUCUUCCAAUGUGCAUGCAUAUUUUUCUUCUGGAUUCACAUUUUUUGGAUGAGUUGGUGAAUUGUUUCCUGAAUUUGGAUAACUGUGAACAUUAUGAUGUCUCUCAAGAGGUUCUUCUGUUAUUUUGUGAUUCAUCUGCAUUUAUGAUGAAACAAAAGUUUUGAUCAAAUUUUCACAAUCAUGACAUUUGCACCAGGACCAGGACGAGUCCAAGUACCAGAGUUCAAACUGCGGUGAAAGAGAAAAUAGUAACAUAACAUUUUGCUGAUAAAAAAAUGAAUAAUUUGAAGAAACUCAUUCCAAAAGAAUUAUUUAUUAUCAUUUUUUUUUCCUUAAGAAAACAUGAAUUUAUUGUGUUUGAUUAUGAUAAGCAAUUAUGCAUGUGUAGAGUGACUAACAAUGAUGAAACUCUUACCUCUGGUAAAUCAGGCAUUUUGACAGGCUUUGACACAAUGAAUGUGCAACACAAUGACACUCCUUAAGACAAUUUCUGGAAGAAAAAAAAAAAUUGGUUAUGAUGAAGAGAUGAAUUGUUUGUGCAAAACAACAUGAGAAUGAUGAUUUCAUGAUUUUAGCAUGAUUCAAAAAGAAUCAUAUAUAUUUAUUAUAAGAAGCUAAAAUUACUAACAUCUUGCUUUGUGUCUCUUAAUGUGAAACAACAAUUGUAUCAAUAAACUUAUACAAAAUGUAAUUUAAUUUCUUCUUGUGAAAAAAUAUGUACAAAUUAAUAGAGAAAAUUAGGCCUUAUUGUUGAACAUGCAUGAUGCCAUGAUAUAAAAGUCAAGAGCAUAAAGAACCAAAAACUAAAUUCAUGGUUUCCACGUUAUGGAAUCUAAUGUAGACAAAGUCAGAAUUCAAGUAUGGUUAUUACAAAUCAAAUUUUUUUAAGCAAAUAUUUUGACAUGUAAAAGUAUAGAGAAAAAAUAUUAAUUAUGUUGUCACCUUAGGCUCUACCAAUCAUUUGCAACACAAAGAAAUUUAUUAAUAAAAACAAAAAUAAAGAAAACAAAAACAUGGAGAGAUACACCAAAUCAUUAUUGGUAUAUAUAAAAAUGAUAUGUUAACAAUUUAUAUAUUAGAUAUAUGUUGAAGAUUGAUGUGACAAGAAAAUGUAUACAGCAAACAAACCUGAAAGUUAGAAAUUGCAUUAAUUAAUCCUGAUAACUCUUGAGGCUAUGUAAUGUAAGAGCUAAUAACAAUAAUGCUUGAGGUGCAUGGUGAAUGAAUAUAACAAAUUAAAUUUCUUUUCAAGUAAAAAAAAGAGAGAGAAAUUAUGUAUAGGAUGAAAAAGAAAAAAAGGGUUGUUUGAAUUAGGAAAGAAAUGACAUGUGGAUAUUGAAAAUGAGCUGGUUGUUAAUUGGAACACAACCUAUCAACAAAAAAACACUGGAGAGAUGAUGAUAUCUUGUGUGAGAGGAAAUUGUGGAACAAGAGGUAGAAGAUAGCCCCAUAACCACAAUUAGGAAAAUCAAAAUAUUUAUAUAUAGAAAAUUGUAAAUAAAAACUAUAUGAAAAUUAAUUUGUUUUUAUUAAGUAUAGAGUGAUUUACAGAUUAGCAUGAUGGAUAAUUUUGAGAGUGAGAGAGAGAGAGAGAAAAGAGGAAAUGGUCACAGAUAUGAAAAAAGAAUGGAUAGGCGUCAUAUUCUCUUUGAAAUGGAAAUGGAGGUUUAAUUGUCUCCCUCUCAUAUCUGCCUACUCCUAAUGUGUCCUUAAAUUGACAACAUCAUGUUAUGUUGUCACCACCAUAGCUUAGACCUAUAUCAUGUAUACAAGUCAUUAUUUUUUAUGUAUUUUUUGUUUGCAUUAUAAGUUUAAUUUAUAUGUACUUAGAAGUCUAAUGAUAAAAUUUUAUUAAUUUAAUAUAUAAAUAUAAGUUAUGAUGAUAUUUUAAAAAAAUUUAGCUCCGUCAAAAUUGAUGUCAUUUAAUAAAACAAUAUAAUUUUUUAAUAGAAGACAUUAACUU
This 63641-nucleotide long non-coding RNA is filed under the name Cicer arietinum (chickpea). RNAcentral's name for it is "long non-coding RNA (CARI_LNC000293)". Lineage: Eukaryota; Viridiplantae; Streptophyta; Magnoliopsida; Fabales; Fabaceae. The record is from RNAcentral.